AAGAGCAUUUGGAUUAAGGUAAGUAUAGCAUUUGGAUUUUAUUUCUGUGACCAUGAUCCUGUGGCUAGAUUGAUGUUAAAUAAUAAAUGAUAAAAAUGACUUUUUAGCAACUUGAUGAUUUAUCUGUACGUGAUCACCCGGGACAACAGUGCAACCAUGAGGGCUAUAAUGGCUCUGGCUUUAGCUCAGUAUGAGGACCUUUUUCUAGCUUGUUAGCGGUUACCUUAAAUGGCGUAAGAAUGGCUAGACACGUUGGGUAUAGUGUGGCCUCUGUCCAUGUGUAUAGUCUACGAGUUAUGUGCCAUGGAAGGGGGGCUCUAUAUCUGUCUGCCGAGUGAAUCUAAUGGCCCUAACUUGUUAGACGAAACCUUUGAAAAGCUUCAUAGUGAUCCCUGCCGACGUCCCUAGGAAGGAGGUUACGAGAUUAGCUACCUCGGGCGAAAGGGUAAAUCAUGACUCAUGGGUAAAGAUGUACAACCUCUGCAGAGUGUUAAAAACUAGUAUACUAGCCGUGCUCACGGUCAGGAGCGGCCUUGGGGACAUGUACAUUAAGGGUGAUGAUUCUUUUGCGCUAAAUAUGCUCAUUAUUUAUUGUUUAAUGCUUUACAUUAUUUAUGUCACAUUGAUCAUGAGAUUGUGGGAUCUAUAUAAUCUAGUUGCUAUACUUGUGGAGUUCGACAUGGACUCACUCUUGCUAUUUGCCCCACACUUCAGGAAGUGUUUUAGGCUUGUGAUCAACCAGUCAGUUGGAUCAGAAGUUAAUACCCGAAGUUUGGAGUUGUUUAUCCGCUGUUGCUAUCAAAGGUUAUUUCUUUUAUAUUAAGUAUGUUAUAUAUUUAUGCAUUGUCUUUUGAUAUUACGCCUUAUUUGUAGUUAUAUGUGAGAUUUGGUUUCUAAAACUCACGUAUGGUGCAUAUCUGGUUUUGUCCAUAAAAUCAGGUAUUGCACACAGUGGACAUAGGAUUUAAAAUAUUAUUCUCUUAUUCAAAAUCCUUUAAAAGAGCAACUUAUUUAUUGUAUUCUCAAAUAUUUUGUCACAUGUUUUCAAAUUUAUAUAUAAAACUAGCAGAAUAGAAAGUUGGACAAAAUACUCACAUGUAAAGCAAGGUCUGUUCUUGGUGAUAAUAAAAUCGCUUGGCAAGAUACCCAUGAAUGUACCAUAGUAGAGGGUUUACAGUGAUUAGUCAAGAAGAUAGAGUGUGAAAAUUGGUUAGACCAACAUGGUAGAAUCUCUGUUUCCAAAUAGAGGUUACAAAAUAAAUGGAUUCUAAAAGCAUGGUGUGUAAGUGUCUUAUUAAUUUUGCCCUCAAGCACCAACUUCCUUCUUGGAGGCACCUGCCCUAUGGCUUCCACCUUGCAUCUUGGGUUCUUCUUGGUAAAAACCUAAUCCAUGAUAAACGGGUCCAAGGGACCAUGACACAUAGGAGGGGGGGCGGGGAUUGAAUUAGGCUUUCUAAAAAUCUAUUAUGAAUUGUGGCAUCUAAUUUCCACCUAGUCAAAACCUAUGCAACAAAAUGAACUAUCUUGAUGUGCAGCUAUGGUUUUGUUAGGUGUGUUGCUAUCUCUACCGUGAAAUAGUUAUGCAAUCUCAGUUCCAAUUCUAUCAACUAGCCUAGCAAGCUAAACUAGAAUUGUAAAGCACACAACCUAAGCACACACACAUAAAUGCAGGAAUUUAAAUGAGAUAGAGAUGCAAAUUCAUGAUAUUAUCAACUAGCUUGUCUCAACUUGCCUUUUGCGCUUCAUCUUAUUGUGCUCAUCAAAUGUGAGAGCUAUGAUUUUGCUUGAUGAAGUGGCUUCUUCUUGACCCAUCUUCCAUGACAUCUCAAAUGCCACUAACCCGCUAAUGACAAGCACCAAGUUCAUUGUUCUCAAGUCCUCCAUGUUGUGGAGGAUUGUGACAAUUGGUGCAUAUUUGUCAUGUGGUAGCGCCAAGAUGAUCUUCCAUACAGUGUCCGCCAUCUUCGAGCUUUGUUAAACCUAUGGAGUUAAGCUCAUUGACAAUUAGAUUCAGACAUAAAUACAUCUCUCUAACAAGCUCCUCUUUGUUCAUUUUAAAAGAACCAUAGGUUUGUUUAGUUAGGCAAUGUUUUUUUUGCAAACGGACACCUAUCUUGUGUCUUGGACUUCUCACGCGCUUUAUACAUCUUGGACAUAUACUAUCUAUCCCUUAUAUUAUUUAAGUCAUAUAAGUACUGCCACUUUUACUAGGCAUACUAUUUAUGAUUUAUGAAUGCCUAAUCCAACUUUUAGAACCGAUUAAUGAAUUUAUAUUAUAGUUAUAGAUAAUGUCUUGAUUUAGUCUUUUAUUUUUUCUAUCUAUUUGUGUAUGAUAUACUUUCCCUUAUGAUAUCGAUAUCCAAUAAAGAGUAUUUUUAUUUAUAUUAUAUGGUGUAGUAUACAUCACACCCAUUCAUACUUUUGUUUCUAUUCUAUCCUCCUCAUUUAUCUUGUGUUGUGUAGAACAUGAAUAUCACAACUACCAAAGGAAAAGGAGCUCUCAAAAUGCAAAUAAUGCACCACUCAUCUUGAGCCCUCGACUAUAGCCUAUCUAAGGGAACCAGUGGUCCGCACACCAAAACCCAUUUUGAUGCAUCCAACAUAUAACGGUGGAUGGAAGGUUCUCCACCACAUCAGGCCAGAUGGAAGAGCUGAUUUUGUAAUGCCUCAUUCCUUCCUUAGUCUUUUUCAUGAUAUCAAAAUGCAAGUGUUUAUGGUGUACAAUUCUAUGUAAUUCCUGAUAAUACCAUUUGAGUCACUAGAGCUUUUAAGUUGUCUAAACUAACUCCCAUCCAAAACAAGCAUGCGUAAAUGAAAUAAGCCUUUUGUUUCUAGAAAUGACAUCUACUAUCUAUCCCUGAUGUUAUAUAAGUGAGCUUCUACCCCAGUUUUACUAGGCAUACUACUUACGGUUUAUGAAUGUAUAUUCUAAAUUUUAGAACUGAUUAAUGAUUAUAGAUAAUUGCUGAUAAUAUUUUUUUUCAAUUUAUUUCUUUGUGUAUGAUACAUUUUCCCUUAUGAUAUUGAGAAGGGUAUUUUUAUUCAUAUUAUCUUGAGAACUACAACAAGUGCCUAGCGAAAAAAAACUCCUCAAAAUGCAAAUGAUGCACCACUCAUAAUUGAGCCCUUGACUACUACCUAUCUGGGGGAACUUGUGGUCUGCACACCAAGAAGGUUCUGUUGCAUCCAACAUAUAAUGGUGGAUGGAAGGUUCUUCGCCGCUACAGGCCAGAUGGAAGAGCUGAUUUAGUAAUAUGACUCAUUCCUUCCAUAGUUUUUUUCAUGAUAUUAUUGAGUUCCAUUUUAUAUAAAUGAAAUAUUUUCAUGUUUUGAUAUUUGUUUGAUGUUUUAUGUCAUCUCUCCUUGCCUACUAGUUUACAAAAUAAAUGAUUUAUUUCUAAAUGUCUCAAAAUGGAAUAUGGGGUAACUAUAAUUUGCUUCCGCAUUUAUGGAAUAAUUUUGUGAACACUGAUUUAACAACAUCAUCAUAUUUGAUAUUCUGAGGAACCUAAACUUAUCACUACAAAAUGUUUAUAUGAAAUUUUUUUGUCGAGUAACUAUUAUUUGUGUUGCUAUACGUGCAAGGUAAAGGCCAAAGGGAGUUAUUCAUGCUACCGUUGGUAACCACGCUGAAUAAGGAUUUGGAGAGGCUUCAAUACGAAACAACUAAAACAGGAUCCGCCACCAAAAUGCUAGUGUUUAUGGUGCCUGAAUCAUUGUUAUCCCUGGACUAUAUAGCCAAUUCGGGCGAACUAGUGGUGCACACACAAAGCCCAUUUUGAUGCACCCAACAUAUAUAAUGGUGGUUCGAUGGUUUUCCGACACAUCAGGCCAAAUGGAAGAGUUGAUGUAGUAUUGACUCAUUCCUACUUUUUAUCUUUCCAUGAUAUUGUCCAUUUGCAUUUUAUAUGAAAUAUUUUCCAUGGUUUUGAUAUUUUUUGAUGUUUCUGUUAUCUCUCCUUACCUAGCUAACAAAAAGAAAAUGAUUAAUUCUUGAAUGUGUCAAAUUGGAAUAUGGGGUUAUUCAUUGUUUCCGUGAUUAAGGAAUAAUUUAGUCAACUAUGAUUUAAUAACAUCAUAUUUGACAGUUUGAGAUGAACCUGAACUUGUCACUACAAAAUGCUUUUAUGAAAUCUAUUUUCUCGGAACCUUUAUUUGUUACUAGGAUGUAACUUUUUGACAGUAAAUAAUAUGAAUAAAAUAAUACCCUCUCUUGUAACUAGGUAUCAUAAAGGAAAAUGUAUCAUACACAAAGAAACUGAAAAAUGCAAAUAGCUAAAUUAAGGCAUUAUCUAUAACUACAAUAUAGUUCUAUUAAUCAUUUCUAAAACUAAUAGCUAGAUAUUCAUAAAUUGUAAGCUUAUGCCUAGUAAAAGUGGUAGAACCUAUCACUUAAAUAAUGUCAGUUAUAGACAGUAGAUGUCAGAACUACAAAGCAAAAACAUAUUUCAAUUUAUGCAUGCUUAUUUUCGAUAUGAGUGGUUUUAGUUCAGGCAACUUAACAACUCCAAUGACUAUAACAGUAUUAUUUGGUAGUUAGAUCUCAAAAUAAAUAAAUUUCUAAGGUUUAAAAUUUAUCCAAAAAAAUAAUAUUCUACAGUCCCUAAUGAUAUAUAUUUGUUGAGAAAACAACAUUGUGGCUCCAUCCUUUAUCUACUCCUGCUUACCGUCUUCCUUCUGAAGAUUGAUCUCGUGUUCUCAUUAUCAUGUCCAUGGAUAAACAGUUUUGCUCUACAGAACAUACCGAGAAAUAAAGAACUAAAGAUAUCCAGUAGAAAUAUAAAAUGGAAGGUGGGACUCGAUCCUAUAGGCUGGUGUGUGUGAUUGUUUUCAACAUAGCUGCAUCAGUGUGUGCCAGAAUCUGCUUUGUCCUUCACCCGAACUAGAGUGGUGUAUACAUAUAUAUGUAUAAGAUUCGCUGCUGGCAAUUUUGUAUACACCUUCUCCAGCUGUUAAGUAUAUAAUACUGGAGCACUCGAUGUGAUGCCAAAUUGCAUGAUAAUGUGUCCAGCUCGUUUGCUCUUCAAGUAACUAUUAACCUCUUUACCCUGCCUAAGGUCGAAAUUAACCAUGAAAUGAGCUCACAUGAACUCAGACCUAUAUAUGGAAAAGAUAAAGGCUGUCACACUUUGUAAAUUGAUCUAAGCUAUGAUGCAGAUGAAUAUAAGUGUUCACAAACUGAGCUCAGAUAUGAAAUAAAGGUAUGUUGGCCCAGCUCACACACAGAAGAUACCCACGUGAUGUUCUUAUAUAUCACUCAAUGGAAGCACACGCACAAGAUGGAAGAAACUAGUUAUAUAUAUAGUUAUUACUCGAGACAAGUUUUAUAUAGUUAUAUAUAGGUCUGACUAUAUAUAUGUGUGUAAACAGCUUUCACUGAAUACUCAUAGUCAUUGAAAUUCCUAAGAACCGGUUCAUAAUCUUUGACUCAAUGAGAAAACCACAAGAAAAUUAUCAACAAAUGGUAAACAUUAUUCAAAGGUACGUAAUGUCGAUCUCAGCUAGAAGAAUAUCAUAAUAUGACUCUGUAAUUAUUAGUUCACGAUCCACAAUGGCUGUGUGUAGGGUUUGGGAAAGAUUCAUUGACCGUGAACAUCUCAGUGGAUGUAAAGCGCCGCUUAACAUAAUAUAUCCACAAGUAAGUUCUACUAGCUAGCAAACUUUCGCUAACUUUUAGCCUUCUUAUUGUCGUGGUCGUGAAUAUUUUUUAUAUAUAUAUCGUACAGUGGUGUUUAAAACAAGAAGGGGGAACAAUCUAUGUGCAUAUUACGUGUGCAAAUUCAUGAUGGCACAAGUCAAUCAAACACCCACAGAGACGCUCAGAGUACGUUUUAUGUCUCUUUUCAUUAUCUCUUGAAUUAUAUUGAAUAACUUAGAUAACUAAUAUAUUUUUUAUUUAUUUGGAAUUAAAGACGAAAUGGUUGAGGGAAAAGGUCAUACAAAAAGACCGAAUUAAAGCUAUCCAAGAGACGAUAGCAGGAUUUCUCCGCGAGCAAGUGAUCAAUCCAAACGGCGAGUUUCACUUCAACGGCAACGAAACUCUUAUUCCAAAUAACGAUGAUCAUUUGUAUCGUUUGUAGACAUUGGGAGAAAAAACUCUAUGUAUAUAUGUGUCACGAAUUUUGUACAUAUAAAACUAUAUAUAUAUAAAGUUUUUUACAUAUUUAUUUAAUUUUUGAUGUGACCUAUUCAUUUUAUUAUAGGCAAAGCUUAAUUAUAAAUAUACUAUUGUUUGAGCAGAAACAUGUAUUGAAAAACCUAUUAUUAUUAAAUAAAAAAAAUAAACAGAACCGAAGAAGUGAAAAAAAAAACCCUUUAACACCGGUUGGUAAUACCAACCGGUGUUAAAGGGUCCUGCAACGUGGCAGCCCUGCCAGGAUCCUUUAACACUGGUUGGUCUUACCAACCGGUGUUAAAGGGGGGGGGGCUUUAGCCCCGGUUCCCCGAACCGGAACAAAAGGGUGGGCCUUUAGUCCCGGAUGGGCAGCACCGGCUAGGGAACCGGGGCAACAGGCCGUUCCCGACCAGUGCUAAUGCCUAAUCCUGCAGCAGUGAGUACAGGACUAGCUAUCUUAUACCGGAGGAAACUAUUAGGUUUAAUUAGUCCCACGUUAGAAAUUAAUAAUGGGGAAGCACAACAUAAAAGUUAGAUGAGCCCUCACCUAUUAGGCUAGUGUUUUGGUUGAGUUAGACCUGAGACCUUUGUGUGUCGUAGGCUCUAGUGGACCUAAACAUGAGCGACGCCAACUCAUAGGAACAGCGCCAACACACACACACACAGUCUACUUGAAAUGGAGAAGAAGAAGACUAGCAAGAAGAGAACAACACAAUAAGAAGAAGAUGAAAAAUAUAUAGCUAAAAGCAUGACCUUAAUUAUAUGUAUAAAUCAGAUAAUAAAAUAAAUAAACUAGCCCUUGAAGUAUUAUAGUACUUUUUAGAAAAGUUUGAAUGUUGGAUUUUUGGUGUUGCAGAUGCCAAAGAUAGAUGAAUAUAAAUGUUCACAGAAUGAGCUCAAAUAUGAAAGAAAGAUAUGUUGGCCCAGCUCCUUUCUCAUGCACACAAGACACCCACAUGGUGUUGGAUACUCGUCAAAGCUUUGCCAAGUGCUGCCGCGACACUCGACAAAGAAAAGGCACCAUCACGGCACUCGCGGCGUUAACGGUUGCUUUGCCGAGUGCCAACCUUUUGGACACUCGGCAAAGAUUUUUCUUAAAAAAAAUUUCCAAAAAUUCUUUGACGACGGUCAGCCUUUCUGGCGCUCAGCAAAAAAAUUAAUUUUUUGGAGUGCAUGUGAUCAUAUGUGAGAUGUCUAGGUUUCUAAGCAUCGUACGAUACAACGUGCGCGAAACGUUCCUAAUUUUUUUAUCACAAUGCAACCUCCACAUGAGAUGUCAUGAUGUCUUGACAAGUUUCAUGAUUUUCAGAUUUCGGUUGUGUUUUAUACAAUUAAAAAGAAAUUCACCCACAAGUCAGCAUGCCAGCUCUAGGUUCAGAUCUAGUGUUUAGUGAAGUUUGUAUACCUCAUUACUAUUUGUGCUCGCAAGCCCCAAAUGUUGUACUCCUCAAGGCUUGUAAGUCUUGUGAGACCUCCAACAGACCAUCCGCUUCUCCUAUCUUCCUCUCCCUCUCUGUCGUCCAAUGGUGACCAUUGUCCUUCUUUCCUUCUAGUCCAUGGUGCCACCCCUCCUUCCUCUCUAAGAUCCCGCACAGACACCUUUCCCUAUCCAUAUGCCCUCCGCACUGUUGCUCCUCUCCUUUCUCCGGCCCCCAGCGACCUUCCACCCCCUUCCUCUCCAUCUAAACAUAAUAGGGUAUGGAAAACACGGGUGGUGGUGUUCUAGGUGGUGGUCUAGACGACAUUGCAUUUGUGAGGUGGUUGAUGAAGGCUAGUUCCCACUGGUACAGGACAGGCCUUUUGUCCCGGUCGAAAACCAAUUGUAGUUCCGGGUGGCGAGCCAGGACUAAGGGAUCGGGACUAAAAGUCCCACCUUUAGUCCCGGCUCUCCGACCCGGGACUAAAUGGGGACAUUUAGUCCCGAUUGGUAAUACCAACCGGGACUACAGGGGGGCACCAGGCAGUGACAUGGCGCCACCCCUGGCCACCCCUUUUAGUCCCGGUUGGUAUUACCAACCGGGACUAAAGGUUUUUGUUCUUUUUCUUUUUCCUUUUCAUUUCUUCAUUGAUUUUGGUUUUCAAUUGUAUAUGUUCUCCAAUUUAAUCGUAUACGCCGCAAUUAUCCGUAUACGUUGCACCUAUACGAGAGCGUCAUUAUUGCACACAAAUAAAGUAUGAAACUACAUAUAUAUAUUAUCCGUAUAUUAUAUAUAUCUAUAUAUAUUAUAUAGCUAUACACAUACGUACAUACGCAUUACAUUUACAAUAAUAAUAUUAUGUACAAGUAAUAAUCAAGUGUGCUGCCACCGGUUAAUGAUUAUAUAAUGUUUGCCCGCCCACUCAAAGCUCAUACAAGUGUUUGUCCUUGUUUGGAAUGGGCUUGAAGCCCUGCGGGUAUAAGUGGAACUCGCCGUCUUCCGGAAUGACAUGAUCGUUGAUAAAUCCGGCGAUCGUCUCCUGGACUUCAAGGAGUAAUGUGUACUCGAACACUAUAUCUUUCAUAUUCCACUCCUUCCAUUUGCAUUAGUUAAAAAAGAUAUUAAUAUACAUAAAAUCUAUUUAGUUUCAACAAAUAAAUAAGAUAUGAAUUUACUGUAUACACAUGCAUGUUACUUACUUUUAGAACACUUUGAGCAGAUUUAAAUAGGGUGCACCACAUAAAUUCACAAACAUAGUAUCCACAUAGAUUCGUUCCAAACGGCUGCGUGGGCACCCAAGGGAGUAGAACAGGAGGAGGAAGUGACACAUUCAGAUCCGUAUGAUAUUUUUGUUGUAGCCAAGCCCAAGCCCUAUCCAAUAAGAUGCUCGUUGAUUAGGUAUAGCUAGCAUAAUAAAGUAAAGGAGCACGCAUCGAUAUUUAAAGUAUGAUAUAUACUUACCUCUGGAUCAUGUCUAUUAUGUCUUGAUAGAGUGCCAGGUCUUUUUUCAUUGAGUCCCACACAUGUAUUUUUUGUUCCGUGAUCUUAAUCUCAAUGAGUAUCCAGGGAUCUCUGCAUUUGUUUAGAGUCAACUUAUAUAUGUAUAUCUUAAUGCCGGAUUAACUAAGACAUGAUAUAACACAACACUUACCCCAUAUUGUAAGGGAAGAGUAUCUUCUCCGUAUGCCUUUGGUUAUAAAAGAACCUCCGGAGGUUCUUCUCCAUUUCCUUAGACUUCAGAUUCAAUGGAUCUUUAGUUUUAGUGUCCUUGUACACGACAUAUGGAUCGAUGAAACCAAUUCGAUUGUCUUUUUUUAAUCUUUGUUCUCUCAUCAUGUGUCUGCACAUCGUGAGCGUAGUUAUUACGAAUACAUACAUAUGCUAUAAUGGGAUUAAUGAUUGAAAGGAAGAAUCACUUACAGACAGUAGCAGCUCAUGAGAGAUUUGUCGAGAGCAUUCAUAUGGAGCAGUUGGUGUACUUCACUAAAAUCUAUCCAUAUGACGUCAUCUCCACGGAAGUAGUGUCGGUCGCGGACUUAAACGGCAAUCAAUUCUUCUUCUAUAUGUUUUGAGCUGACUCUCAAGUAGUACUCGUGCAGCUUGUAUAUUUGCGUACCAAGUCCUCGUACCUUCUCAGGGUGCCACAUACUCCUGCCGUAAAUGUACCGACUCUGAUAGUCAUCGACACCUCCGUGGAUUGGCGCAUCGGUACGCCCUAGAAGUGCUUCUAGGGGCAGCCCAGUUUCUUCCAUCCAAUUCCCGAGCUCAUCUAAGUCCACAUUAGUAGGUAUAGUCAUUGCUAGCAAGUUGGCGUUUGAACCGUACUCAUUCGCAACCACUAGUGGCUGAACUGAUUGUUGCGCUUGUUCGCCGAGCUGUGCAACUUUUUGCUGGACUUUUCUUUUGUCUGCCUUGAUUUUCUUUAGGACAGUAUGGUCGUAGUCUGAUAUUGUUGACCCUAGUUGUUUACUCGCAGCACGGUUCGCGUCUGUCAUUUUCUGCACCACUUGACGUAGCUUUGAACGAGGAUACAUCAGGUAUGGCGGCUCUUGCUCUGCUUUUCUAUUAGCUUUGCAUUUUUCAAAGAAGCUUUGACUUCUGCUUUGCUUGCAGCAAGCACUUCCUCAUCGGUCUUCUCAUAUGAAAGCUUGGUCGUCUUCGUGAUCUUCGUGUUCAAAGCUUUCCUCUUUGCCGCAGGUGGUUGGAGUGAUCUCUGUGUCUCGGCGGACGACCUCUUCCUCCUCGAUGCAGCACCAGCCGGUGUCGAUGAGGCGGCGGCCGUUGUCGUCGGCAUUGGUGGAGGCAGCGGCGCAGGUGGAGCUUGCUGUUCUGGAGGAGAUUCGACCACGGGCGGCGUUGGAUUCCUUCAUGGAGGAGAUGCGGCGGCCGGUGGUGGGGAUGCGGCCUUCUCUUGUACGUCGUCGUUGUCGUGUCCCACGGCACUAUGGUCAUGCGGUGAAUGGACAGACGGACUUCGGUGGGGGGAGGCCCUGGAUUUGAAGAAAAACAAAUAAAGUAUAUGUAUACAUGACUAAAUGUAAUUUGAUACAGUAUAUAAUUAUAGAAAAAGCAGUAGCGUCCACAAUAAUCUGCACCUGCUAGGGUUCGGUUGUGGCGGCGGCACCCUAGGAAUAAUGAUGUACCGUUUCCUCCAACAUAUGAAUGUCUUCUCUACUUCACUAAGUGUCUUCUCUCCAUCACCGCCUUCGAUAUCGAGAGGCACAUUUUCACGGCCUCUGACAACUCUAUCCACCGAGACACAAGCAUAUCUGGCUGGUAUUGGGACAGAGUGGAUCCUUGGUGUCUUGGUGGGGUCGAUAGGAGAUACGAUACCAGUAGCCACCUUUACUGUGCCAUCGCCCUUCGUAAUAUGGAGCUCACAAGACGUCAACAGAGCAGUGACGUCAUCCACCGGGAAUCGCAGCCCUACGUCAUCAACUUGCCUCGUACGCGCCUCCGUAGAAGCACAACUGCUCUUUAGAUGAACUGAGCAAGGGCUGAUGUUGGCGGCCGGUGGCUGUGACAAGCUUUGGAGGCGGGAAGUUACAGCUUCCUCCACGGCCUUUUGGAUUUUCUCAUCCAUUGUGGCCGUCAGCGCUUGCUCUCGCUCAAGGGCCCGUUGAGCCACUUCUUGGGUCUUUAUGAGUCCUUCCUCCAAUCUGUGUAUCCGUUCCCUGUCCUCUUCCUUCUUUCUCUGGCGGCUUCCAUAAGUUUCCCUAUCAGCAGGGAAGGCAUGUUCCCACGACACGGUGCCAUAGCCUCUCGUCCAUCCACCGUACUCAGGGUUCCCUAGGGCGAAUGUCAACUCAUCUUUAUCUCUAUUCGGCUGCCAUUCUCCACUUUCAGCCGAUGGAGCGGGCUUGAUGGAAUCUUUCCGCAACAGCUUGGAUGCGUUCCCCAUACACGACCUUUCCGGUCUCAAGGUCCAGUGAGCCUCCGUGAGCGAAAAACCAGUGCUUCGCGCGCUCAGGCCACUCGAGGGAUUCGUGCACCAACCCCCUGCCGAUUAACUCUUUUUCGGCCUUUUCCCACUUAGGAACUGCGGUUUGGUAGCCACCUGAUCCCAUCGUGUGGUUGUAGGUCUUGCGUCGGGCAUUCUCUUGGUUCUUUCUCACCCGUUCCUGAGCCUCUUCGGACAUCUUGAACCGUACAAAGUCAUCCCAAAACGGCCGUAGCUUCGCAUAGUUCGGAGAGUUGAAAUCUGGAGUCAUGUUUUUCUUGAUGUAGUCUUGAUAUAGACGCUUCUUAUAGCCCUGGAACAUUGGUGCCAUCUUCUUCAUAGACCAAUCUCGGACUCUUUCCUUCAACUGUUCAUCGUUUGUCUCUAGUGUAAAAUGUUGCAAGACAUCACCCCAGAGUAGCUCCUUGUCACGUAUAGAGACAUAACUGAUUUCUGGGUGUUUCUUGUUCUCCUUCCAUUCACGGACACUGAUUGGGAUCCUAUCCUGGACAAGGUACCCUAAGUGGUUCACGAAGGCCCUUGAAUGGGGUCCAAGUGGCUUGCAGGUUGCUUCCUCGAAUUCUGAGAUUACUAACCGGCCCUCCAUAGGCUUCUUUGGGCCUCGUACUCUCCGGCUGGUCCCCGUGGUUGUCGUCGAGCCAGAGGGCUAUGUAGAAAGAAAAAAGACAAUUUAAUACAAGGUAUUAUUUCGAAUUAUAUCUGUAAAAACAAAGGAGACUGCCAUAUUAUAGACAUGCUGGCCAGCAUUGUCUUGCUCAUUCGGGUCGACCAAAUACUGAGAGCAGUCAUCGAUUCCCUCAGGGUUCUCAUCGCCUUCACGAUCAUCGUGAUAAACUUCUUCAGUGGGACCGCAGAUCAGGUUCAUCAUUUCCUCUUCGUGUUCUCUCGGAUCGGCCAUUUCUGCUGAAAUAUGUGACACAUCACUACUAGCACUACUGUGUAUACUUGACAAGGAAACAAUAUAUAAAACUAGGGUUUAGGGUUUAGGGUUUAUGGGUUAGGGUUUAGGGUUUGAAGGGCUUAGGGCUUAGGGCUUAGAACAUCACUAAAUACAACACAGAACACUAUAUGUAUACUAUGUGAACAUUGCUAAAAUAUGUUAUAGAACAUCAAAUAUAUAUUACGUGAAAAAAACUAAAUACACCAUAGAACAUCACUAAUUACAUUAAAGAACAUCGUAUAUAUAUUACGUGAAAAUAAAUAAGAAAUUGGUACUAUAAUAUACAUGAAAAUAAAUAAAUAUAUAUGAAUUUGAGCAGAGGCAAUAUUCUAGAUUUAUAAGAAAUUGGUGACACAUGACUACUAGCACUACUGUGUAUACCUGACAAGGAAACAAUAUAUAAAUCUAGGGUUUACAACUUAGGGUUUUCCGCAACAGUUUACGGCUAAGGGUUUGGGGUUUACGACUUAGGUUUCAAGGUUUAGGGUUUACGGCUUAGGGUUUACAUCAUUUGCUAACAAAAGUGGCAUGAUCUGAACCGGUCACAAAUAAGUGAGAGAGAGAGAGUAUAUGUGUUUAGGGCUUAGUGUUUAGGGUUUAGGGUUUAGGGGUUAGGGUUCAGGGGUUAGGGUUUAGGGUUUAGGGUUUAGGGGUCAGGGGUUAGGGUUUAGGGUUUAGGGCUUAGGGCUUAGGGCUUAGGUUUAGGGUUUAGUAUAUAUCAUUUGCUAAUAAUUAAAUAUAUCAUAAUUAUACCACUAAUUUAAACCACUAAUUGUACCACUAAUUAUAGCACUAAUAAUUGUACCACUAAUAGAUCCAUCUCGACAUUCCUGUAUUUUGAAGGUGGUGAGACGGCGGAGAGACGGCGGUCGGUGCGGAGACUCGACGGGGACUUCGGUGACGACGGCAGAGAGACGUCGAUCUGGAAGAAGGAAGAAAUAGGGAACAAAUAUUAUAUCACAUUUACAUAUUGUGGCACAUGCCUGAAGCACUAAAUAUGGAAAAAAACAAAAACUAGUUGCAUAGUUUGUCCGUAAUUUACAAGACAAAUCUUUUGAGUUUAGUUAGUUUAUAAUUGGACAAUAUUUGCUACAAACAAAUGAAAAUGCUACAGUACCAAAAUCCAAAAUCUUUUCGGAACUAAACAAGGCAUAUGUGAAAUAUCUAAGUCGCUAAACGAAAAUGCAUGGAGUAUUAAAUAUAGAUGAAAUAUAAACUUAUUGCACAAUUUGGUCGGAAUUGACGAUACGAAUCUUUUGAGUCUUCCAUGAUUGGACAAUAUUUGUCAAAUACAAACGAAAAUGCUAGUGUCAAAUACAAACAAAAAUGCUAUAGUGUGAAAUACAAAAUUUUUUGGAACUAAACAAGGCCUAAUUAUUGCUCUCUGUAUUUUCAUUUUUUUUUCAUAUUUUUUUAGGGCGAGGCGGCGGCGCGCGGGGGGGCGGGCUCGGCCGCCGGUGGGGGGGCGCGUGGCCGCGCUGCCGACGGCGUACGGCCCGCGCCACUCACCCCCGCCGGCGGGCGUUGUCGUCGGGCGCAGAGGGCUUGGCCGCGCGUGGCUGCAGCGGGCCGGCGAGCGCGCUCUGGGUCGAUCACGGGGCGGCUGGCGCGCGCGAGAGAGAAAAAGAGAGAGGGAGUAGUGGCGGCGGGGGCGCGGCGUACGACGGAGGUUGGCUCGGGGCGGCGCGAUGGCGCUCGGAGCGGCGGCAACGACGUCGUGGACGAAGAGAAGACAACGGCGACGGUUAGGGCUAGAUCGGGCGNNNNNNNNNNNNNNNNNNNNNNNNNNNNNNNNNNNNNNNNNNNNNNNNNNNNNNNNNNNNNNNNNNNNNNNNNNNNNNNNNNNNNNNNNNNNNNNNNNNNAGCCCCUUCAGUCCCGGGCGGUGGCACGGCCCGGGGCUAAAGGCGUUUCACCAAAUUAUGGCGCCAGUUCAAGCGCCAUAAUUUGGUUUUCCCUUUUUUAUUUUCCUUUUACAUUGUUAAAUGCAUUAUAAAUUAAUAAAUAAAUCUGAUAAAAUUGUUAAAAAAUACACAUUAAUUUUAUUGUGCUCUACUCUUGUGUAUAAAAAUUCUUAACACAAUUGCUUUUUAAAUAUUUCAUAUUAUUCAAAAUAAAUGUUAUUCAUAAUGAAUAUUGUGUUAAUGCAAAAAUAUAAUGGCCAAUUAAAUUUUAAAAAAAUUGUUGGCUUUAGACAGAUACUUUGUUUUUGGGUCAUUUGGACGUUAAACUUUUGUUUCUUUAGUAAUAAUUAUACAAAUGCGCUACAUUGAUUGUAUAAUUUUGAAAUUUAAAUUUUCAAAAGUUGUAAGAUGUAUUUUGGAACCCUGGAUUGUCUCAAAUGGAAAAUUCAUGAAUACAAAGUUUGUUCCACUCAUCAAGACCUACAUUUUCUCUAAUGGUCACAUUUUCAUUUGAAAAAGUUUAGACCACUCAAUUUUGAAAUUAGAAAGAAUUCAUAGCGAACGCUAAUUUUUAGAACCAUGGAUGGCCUCAAAUGAAAAACUCAUGAAUACAAAUAUUGCUCCACUCAUCAAGAUCUACAUUUCAUAUAUAGACCAUUUUUGCAUUUGACAAAGUGUUGGCAAAGUGUAGUUCAAAAUCCACACUUCCCACGUAUAGUUUCAUAAAGUUUGUGUGAGAUUCAAGAUUUGGUGAGUAUUGUUUAUAUAAAAUUUCCCAAAUGGAAAAAUGGUCUAUAUAAAAAGUUUGGAUAUUGAUGAGCUCUAACAACUUGGUAUUCAAAAGAUUACCAUUCCAAGUCAUUUUCUCUGUCGUUUUACCAAAGCCCUUCUUUGAAUUUGAAAACAUGUGCCUCGGACUCAAUCAAAUUUAUCCGGAUGAAAAUAUGAUCCAUAUAUGAAAUGUAGGUUUUGAUGAGACCUAACAACUUGGUAUUCAAAAGUUUUCCAUUUGAAGUACUCAGGUGGGUCAUUUGACCAAGUUUGACCAAAGUCGAAAUAGUGGGUUUCACAAACACACACUUUGACCGAGCCCUGGAUGGCCUCAAAUAGAAAACUCAUGAAUACAAAGUUUCUUCCACUCAUCAAGACCUACAUUUCCUCUAGUGGUCACAUUUUCAUUUGAAAAAGUUUAGACCACUCAAUUUUGAAAUUUGAAAGAAUUCAUAGCGAAACGCUAAUUUUCAGAACCAUGGAUGGCCUCAAAUGGAAAACUCAUGAAUACCAAUAUUGCUCUACUCAUCAAGAUCUACAUUUCAUAUAUAGACCAUUUUUGCAUUUGACAAAGUGCUGGCAAAGUGUAGUUCAAAAUCUAUUUGAAGUACUCAGAUGGGUCACUUGACCAAGUUUGACCAAACUCAUGAAUACCAAUAGUUCAAAAUCCACAUCAAGAUGUUAUAAUUAUAUUACACCUAAUGUUACAAUUAUAUUACACAAGAUUUCAAGUACAAAUUACUACCAUUAUCAAGCUAGCACAGUGGUAAACUUUUUCUUAACAUAAUGCCCUUGGUUAUGAUCAUUCCGUAACCAUGGAGUGUCCUCUGCAGUGAGCAUGAUGCUUGGGUCUUUGGCCACACAGAAGGGUGGGAUCCGUUCAUCCUUUUCAUAAUCCUCUGACACAUCUGACUUGUCUUCAAUUCCCACGAUGUUUCUUUUCCCUGUAAGAACGAUGUGUCGCUUUGGCUCGUUGGUGUUUUUCUCGUCUUGUUUCCCUCUCUUAGGUUUUGUAGACAUGUCUUUCACAUAGAACACCUGAUUCACCUUAGUACCGAGGACGAAUGGAUCGUUUGUAUAUCCAAUAUUGUUGAGGUCCACUGUUGUCAUUCCGUACUCCUUAUCGACUGAUACCCCUCCUUUCAUCUUCACCCAUUGGCAUCAGAAUAAAGGUACUUUAAAAUUAUGUGCAUAGUCUAGUUCCCAAAUCUCCUCUAUACGACCAUAAUAUGUGUGCCUGUCCCCAUUCGUGUCCUUGGCAUCCACACGGACACCACUGUUUUGGUUGGUACUCUUUUUAUCUUGUGAUACGGUGUAAAAUGUAUUUCCAUUUAUCUCGUACCCUUUGUAUGUGAGGACGUGCCACGCUGGUUGCCUAGCCAACAAAUAAAGUUCAUCUCCAAUAUCUUUAUCACCCUGGCAUUUUUUUCGCAACCAGUCACCGAAUGUUUCCAUGUGAUGACGCGUAACCCAAGUCUCAUUCUUUCCAGGAUUCUCGGAUCGUACAAAAUCCAUGUGUUCCUUAAUAUAUGGUUCCACCACAAUGGAGUUUCGAAGGACUGUGUAGUGCGCUUUAUUGAAUAAAUCAUCACCCUGGCUGAUAUAUGUUUUCUUUCCUAGUGUACCCUUUCCACCGAGUCUCCCCUCAUACCUUGAUUAAGGAAGACCAAUCGGGUCAAGAUCAGGAAUAAAGUCCACACAGAACUCAAUGACCUCCUCUGUCCCGUAUCCCUUGAUGAUGCUUCCUUCUGGCCGACCCCGCUGGUGAACAUAUAUUUUCAGUACACCCAUAAAUCUCUCUAAGGGAAACAUGUUGUGUAGGAAGACAGGACCCAGAAUAUGAACCUCUUUGACCAGAUGAACUAGGAGAUGUGUCAUGAUAUCAAAGAAAGAUGGAGGAAACACCAACUCAAAGCUGACAAGACAUUGAACCACAUCGUUCUGUAGAGUAGCUAGAUCAAGAGGAUUGAUUGCCUUCUGAGGAAUUGCAUUGAGGAAUGCACACAACUUCACGGUGGCUAGACGUACAUGUGGAGGUAGAAUUCCUCUUAAGGCAACCGGAAGCAGUUGUGUCAUAAUCACGUGGCAGUCGUGCGAUUUUAAGUUGACAAUUUUUUUCUCUGGCACAUUUAUUAUACGCUUUAUGUUGGAGGAGAACCCAGAUGGGACCAUGAUGCUACUUAGGCACUCAAACAUGAUUUCCUUCUCCUCAUUGCUAAGAGUGUAGCUAGCAGGUCUUAAAUACUGACGUCCAUCAUCUGUCUGCUCUGGAUGCAGGUUGUCUCGUUCUUUCAUGCGCUGUAAGUCCUCUCGAGCCUCAAGGGUAUUCUUAGGCUUUCCAAACACACCCAUAAACCCUAGGAUAUGGACACAAAGAUUCAUCGUCAGGUGCAUCACGUCGAUGGAGUGGCGGACCUCAAGGUGUUUCCAAAUGGUAGCUUCCAAAAUAUUGACUUUUUCUUCCACAUUGGGGCACGCCCCGAAGCGUCUUUGGGAACAGGUUUGCUGCCUUCUCCCUUUCCAAACACUACUUUCAAAUCUUUGACCAUCUCGAAUACCUCUGCCCCAUCUCGGUUGCUUGGCUUGGACCGGUGUUUUGCCGUACCUUUAAAAUGUUUGCCUUUCUUUCUCAACUGGUGGUUCUUAGCAAGAAAUCGACGAUGGCCAAGGUACACGACCUUUCGGCAUUUUUUCAAAUAGAUAGCUUGAAGGUCACCAAAGCAAUGGGUGCAAGCAUUAUAUCCCUUGUUUGUCUGUCCUGAAAGAUUGCUUAGAGCUGGCCAAUCAUUGAUGGUCACGAACAACAAUGCUCGUAGGUCGAAUGCUUCCUGUUUGUACUCAUCCCACAUACGCACACCUGGUUUGCUCCAUAGAAGCUGGAGUUCCUCAACCAAUGGCCUCAGGUAAACAUCGAUGUCGUUGCUAGGUUGCUUCGGACCUUGGAUGAGCACCGGCAUCAUAAUGAACUUCCGCUUCAUGCAUAACCAUGGAGGAAGGUUGUAGAUACAUAGAGUAACGGUCCAAGUGCUAUGACUAGAGCUCUGGUCCCCAAAAGGAUUAAAUCCAUCCGUACUCAAUGCGAACCUUAGGUUUCUUGCGUCCUCUGCAAAUUCUGGGAAUUCUCUAUCGAUUCCUCUCCACUGAGAACCAUCUGCAGGGUAUCUCAACAUGUUGUCCACCUUACGGUCUUCUUUGUGCCAUCGCAACAACUUUGCAUGCUCCUUAUUUCUGAACAAACGCUUUAGGCGUGGAAUUAUUGGAGCAUACCACAUAACCUUGGCAGGGAUUCUCUUCCUCGGACGUUCUUCAUCCUCAACAUCGCCAGGGUCAUCUCGCAAGAUCUUGUACCGUGACGCAUGGCAAACAGGGCAUUCAUCUAAUUUCUCGUGCUCGCCACGGUACAGGAUGCAGUCAUUAGGGCAUGCAUGUAUCUUCUCGAUUUGUAAACCCAAAGGGCAGACAAUCUUUUUGCCUUCGUAUGUAGUGGUGGGUAACUCAUUAGGCUUCAGAAGCAUCUUUUUUUGGAUCUUCAGUAAUUUUCCAAAUGUCUUGUCAGAUAUACCAUUCUCUGCCUUCCACUGUAACAACUCCAGUGUCAUUCCUAGCUUUUUCUGUCCCUCUUCGGCCGACAGGUAGAGUAGCUUCUUGUGAUCCUCUAGCAUUUGGUCAAAUUUAGCCUUCUCCUUUGCACUUUCGCAAUCUCUCUGUACGUCGCGAAUGACAUCACCAAGAGCAUCGUCAUCAUCAACGAUACUGUUUCCUGCAUCCCCGUCUUCAUCACCUUCGUCCUCUACUGCGAAGUCGCAGUAUUGUGCAAAAACAUCAUCAGGGUACGCUUGCUCUUCUUCACCUUCUUCCAUCAUAACCCCGGACUCUCCGUGUUUGGUGUAACAAAUAUAGUUUGGCAUGAAACCAUUCGUGAACAAGUGCAAGUGAAUUUCUCUUGAGUUUGAAAAUUCCUUCAAGUUCUUACAAACGGCACAUGGGCAGCACAUAAAACCAUCCCGCUUAUUUUGCUCCGCCACUCUGCGGAAUUCUCGCACGCCCUCAAUGAACUCGUUGGAGCGGCGAUCAGCAUUGUACAUCCAAUGGCGUGCCAUUAUCUGCAUUAUCAUGGAAUUGUAAUUUUUCUAUUAAAAGCUAUAAUUUUAUCAGUAAAGAAAAUUAAUUUCAAGAAUUUUUAAAGUGAAAAACAAUUUAUUUAACAAUUACAACAAAAAUUAUAUUAUUAAUAUUUUAAAAUAAGAACAUGAACAUAUUAAAGUAGAAAAUAUCCUAUAAUAUCUAUAAUAGAACUUAACAUGAUUCGUGUAUACAUAGUAGUAAUGAUUUGUGUAUACUAGUUUUUAGCGGGCACACACUUAGCAUCGUUCAAAAAAAUUCAAACAUGAGAAGACGAUGAUUGGAGAGAUGGCAACAUGAAAUAAUCAAAAUAGACAUGUGUCCAAUAUGAAAUUACAUAUGGCGGUGAGAAACAUAGGAGGAUGAAGCUAGCAACCUUUCAAACAAAUCGACGACGGCGUAGAAGCGUUGAAAUGGAUCGAUCGCGGGAGAUGAGAGCAAUAAUAAGGAAGAACAAUGGAAGAACAAGCAAGAACAAAGGAGCUCGGGCUCGGGCAGGGAGAGGAAGAAGGGAGGAGGGAGAUUCAAUUUAUAGCGGGGAGGGUUUAGUCCCGGUUGGUGUUGCCAACCGGGACUAAAAACCUACCUUAAGCCCCGGUUGGUGCCAAAGACCGGGACAAAAGGUUUAGUCCUGGUUAGUGGUAUAAACCGGGGCUAAAGGUAGGUCUUUAGUCCCGGUUCGUAACACACACCGGGACUAAAGGUCUCUCCCCGACAGCGCCUGACACCGGAGCCGUUGGGGAGGGACCGUUAGUCCCGGUUGGCUUCACCAACCGGGACUAAAGAUCUCUUUUGUCCCGGGUGCCAAAAAUGUUGGGACUAAAGGUCAUUUGGCACAUCGACGAAAGGUCUGUUGUCUAGUAGUGUCCACUAAUUUUUAGCGUGUGCAUUUAUAUAUAGGGUCAAUGAUGCUAUCUUUAGAAUGAAACAUGUUGGCAUUAAACUUGUACUGAUUAAAUCACAAAGUGCAACAUUGAUAGACUUUCUUCUUCGGCUCCAAACACGAAAAUAUAUAUUAGGUGUAAAUAUAUCAUAAUUAAAAAAACAAAAAUAAGAAUAAAAAACAUCAUAACUGUGGAACAGACUUUGGAAUAAUAAAAUAAAACCAAGCAGGUGCACAACAGAGGAACAUGUCGGGCAUAUAAAAAAACAUGUGGACAAAACACAUUAGGGACGCGAGGGCAAGGUUGUGCACUUUGUGUAAAAUUACCAAACCCAUAAGUCCUUUGUAUUAUCGGUUAUGAAAUUUACAUCAAGUUAGAGGGAUUUGUGUAAAAAUCCCAAUGGUCUUAUCAACACACGCAAUGCUCCAGUGCUGUUUCGCUCCUCACGUUGUCGCCAUAGCCUACUGGCCAUAUCCUGUCUCCGUUUGCAUCCCACCUCCAAAAAAAAUUCCCAUCCCCAAUCACAACUUCUCAUUGCCGCAGUUCCAGCAGCCGCCGCCACCUAUCUUUCCUCUCCCUUCUUCUCCCCUGCAUGGAGGACCACACCAAUGCUCAUCUCCAACCAAGCUUGCCACCCCACCGCUUGGCCAUGCCUUCAGAUCCGCGACCCCGCUGACAUCCCAUUGUUUGUGCCUUAUGAUAUCGUCAUGCAGACACACCACCGAAGAGCCGAGCUCCAACCUCUGACCUCCAUGAAGCCAUUGCCACGGUUUAUAAUGACUCCAAGCACCGUCUGCAAUGACUUUGGAUGUGCCCAUGAUACCACGCCAUCUUCCACAGCCUCGCAUGCCCGAGCGCUGCCGCAGACCUCUCGAGGAGGUGUGCUGAACCUUGCAACCGGAAACCUACCUCCUUGCCGUCGUGCUCCACCACUAGCAGUGCCACUUGGACUGUGACCUCACCGGACACCUACCGCCUCGCCGUCGUACUCCAGCUCUAACUGCGCCACCCAGAUUGUGACCAUGCCAGACUGAGCUCAGCCACUCUAAUUCUCUCAUUGACCUGACUCACCAAAUUGCGCCAUCGACGACCUCAUUGCGCCCCUGCCUCCACCUCGUCGGCGAUCUGGCUCACCAAGGCCGUUGGUGUGAGUGGAUUUAUUUGUUUGAUUUGAGGAGUUGUUACCUUAUUAAGAUAGUCUAAUUUGGAGUUGUAUCGUAUGUUGGACUCUCGACUUGUAUUCUUCUUGGGACAGGAGACAUGAGCAAGUUGAAACAGCUGAGACUCACUCGUGGGAAAGAGGAGGCCAGAUCAAACCAAAAAAUUGGCAGAAAUUUUGCCUCUUUAGGGAUAGAUAGAUAAGAUCCGAUACUUCCACUUUCCAUCAAUAUAUAUAGUGUCGGAUCAAGCAAAUUCGCAUUCGGGCACAAAAUCCGUCAUGCCAGAUCAAACUUAAGAAAAAUGCAAACAUAAUAUAUAUCCUGUUCUGGCAAACAUAAAGAUAAACUUAUUUUCACAAUGUAUUUCAGUGCCGUCUUAUACAGGCGUGGGCAUAGACAUAUAUAUCAAUGAAUAGAAAAUAGGUAAAUUUAAAAAGGGAUCAUCUUCCAAUGAUCUGUGGAGCAAUAAUCACCGUGCGUUCAAUGGAGAUUUGGCAAAAUAAAGACUCAGAGGCUGGAGUAUGUACCAAGCCUAAACACUGCAAUGCUUGCUUGGCCUGCUUUACCCGUCCGGCCGUAUGAAGGACUAACACCGGUUGCCAUGCCAGCCACCAGCAUGACACGGGGAUUACUAGGGAAAUCUGGCACCGUCACUGGUAGACAAAGCGGAAGGAGACAGUAAGCCCUUGGGCGGCUGAUACAUGGGCGAAACUGGGCCAUGCGACGCGAACCUGCAACGAGUGCUUGCCUGCGCCUUUAAUUUGCUGUUGCUGGGCAAUCAAAACAAAACAAAACAAAAAGAGAAGAGGGGUAUAGAAGUUUCUUGGGCGACGGUAUAGGUUUUCGCAUAUGAUUCUCAAAUCCAUAACCUAUGUAAGAAAAACAGCUACUAGGCGAUGCAAUAUAACUAUACUCAACAGGUCUAGCAAUCUUAAUGUAUGAAUUAAUGGUAACUGAGUAAGAUUUGACAGAUUAAAGAAGCAAUACUACUCAAAUGUUAUACUUUUGACUGGACGUAGAUUGAUAUCCCACCACCAGCGAACUUUCAGAGACACCCACGACGACCGAGCAACAGUUACAACAAAUCCAAAUGGAGCUGCAAAGGGCACAUCAGGAGAAGGACAGGCUCACACAAGCUGCCACGGCAAAUCAAACGGCAACCCCAGCUCACCAAAUUGUAGAAGCGAGGUAAAAACAAAUGCCCUGUGGUUAGUAACUGAAAGCCUUCGUCCAGCCAAGUAGCUAAGCACCAAAUCAUGAUAUAGAGGUCCAACUUAUUAACCCAUAAACCAGUCAACUAAAAGUUUUAAACCAUAGUACCAAACCAUCAUCUCGAUGGAUGACCCACAAGUAGACUGAAGUAUCAAGUGCAUCACAACAAAGUAUUAAGCCCAUGUACAUACCACGAGGCAAAGACCAACCAAAGUGUAUCUCUUUCUCAUGAGAUGAUCAGGACCACAACUGAUAAGCUAGGACAACGACAAUGGCUAGAAGGCAACACCUACUGCUCGCGAGGUGGAGACUGCUGGUGCAGCUGCUGCUGCUGAAACUGCGGUGGCAGGGGUGCCUUGUAGUAGUAUGAUGGUGGGUAGAUUGUUGAACUCGGCUUCAGGGAAGGCCCACCUGCAAAAUAAAUUUGCCAUGAGUAUAAUAUGGUUUUAAUUGUCUUGAUUCUCGAGGUCUGAAGGUAAAAAGAAAAGGAGAUAUAUACCUGAGGAGUACGAGCUUGAAGUAGAUGGGUAUCCCUGCUGGUAUGGCUGGAAAGACGGAGCCUGGGAAACACCUGCAAGGCACAAUUCAAGUCAGUCAAUAGUUAUUCAAAUUUAAAAGUCAGCAAAGGAAGAAAAGUGCCAAUGUUUGAUGACCGAAGACACGUCAUGGGAUUACCCAGGACGGUGUGGGCUUCGGUGUAUGCUAAACUCAAUGGUAAAUGCAAGAGACAAUGAUUUGUACUUGUUCAAGCUGCUGAGUAGCAUAAUACCCAAGUCUAGUUAGGUGUGGUGCCUUUGUGUUGGGUUGGUAUGAUUUGAUUGAUAUGUACCAGGGGUGUGCCCUGCAUCUCUUUAUAAAGACAUGCAUUGAUCUAUUCCUAGUCGUUUAUGACAGAAGAGUUCUAGUUCUAUUGCAGAAACUAACUUUACUAGUAAUCCGACUAGGUCGGUCCUUCAUGUCAUGGAGUACAUGACACCUUGUCUCAUGUCAUCAAGAGGACCAUGGGCCAGCCCAUGCCCCUAUUAGGUAGUUGACCCUGUAGGGAACCCCUAGGAUCCUUGUCCAUCAAGCGCUCGAGCAUUUUAUCGUUGAUCUUGGAAGUCUUCUUGAAUCACCAGGUCUUGCGGAGUAGCAACAAUUAGUAUCUGAGUUCCUUCUAAGAGUAGUUAUGAGGUGCCCUUCCAAUAAUCUUGGAAGUGUAGCCCCUUAGCCUCUUACUAUUUAGCAUACAGAGUUGGAGGGUCUUGUUUGCAAUUCCUUUUGAAGAAAUUUGGAUUCAUUCUUUGAGGAUAUGUAUCCCGUAGCCCUAGAGUCGAGAUCUAACUACUCGGUAGUUGAUUGUAGGGCCUUUGUAGACAUCCUCGAGGAUGCAGGCUAUAUGUAGUUAUUGAUAUCAGUGACCGUAAACCUAGAGAAAUAAUUUGAAUUGUGUACUAAAAUCACGCCCCUGAGCCAAGUUCUAGAGUCACAUGCAAAAUAGGACCUACUAUGUCAUUGACUGACCCGUAGUGUACUAUAGAGUCACAUGGGUGUAGAGAAUCUUGUCCUUUGUUACUAACACAACACAUGCAGUCCACAUGUGAAUCCUUAUCUCAACCCACAAUGGACUUGUGAACCCAAUUCAGGGUAUGUGUAUAUCAUGCUAUAAAUAUCCCCUAACGAGUUGUAUCCACUACACCAGCAAUUGUAGUGUUGUAAGACUUAGGUAAUAGUUCUUCAAAUAUGAUAGUGGCUGAGAUGUUGGAGCCCUAAAAGUAGCCAGCUAUGCUUGUAAUCUGCUUUCAACUAGAAGGAUUCUUAUGAUAGGGACUAGGAGUAGGUUAGUCCCACGGAGAAUAGAAUGGCAUGUGGCUAUAGCUAGAAGAAUGCUUGUGACAUAUGGAUGGUACCAUGUCUAGCAGUUCCAUGCAUGUGUAGUUCAAUGUCUGUCCAUUGUCGAUCAGCUACGUGGCUCGAGUGAGCCUAGUCAUCCGGCUUGGGUAGACAGAUGCUGGGAGGAAGCGUUGUUGUCGACUUAGUUAGCUACCCUAGACCAAUAGGCGAGGUAAAUAGAGAUGAAGAUGCAAGUAAAAAGCACCCCCUGAGUCUAGACCUAGCCAUGAGGUAAGGCAAGGUGACUCUGAAGAUGGCCUGCUAUAGUAGGACUUCAAGAAUGGGUAAGGAAAAUUUUUGAGUAACUGCAUAAGUUGUUGGUCAGCGCUUGAUCUUGUUCAAUGUAUUGUCUAUUGCAGGUCGCAUCUAAAAAGCUCCAAGAGAGGAAGAAAACCAUCUCAGCAAAAUAGUAAGUGUAUUUCCACAAAGCUUCUGUGACUAUGCUAUUAUCGAGUUUUUAAUGGUAGCUGCCUUGUAGGAUGCUACCGCCAGGACAACACAGUUGAUUGACAUCCAAUCUAGGGACUAGUGGUGCAUCUAUGGUAGGUUCUAGAGCUAAUGUGUUUACGGAUGAUGUCUCCUUAAUGACGUAGGUGUUGGGUGCUACCUUCACCCAGACACCUAGUAUGAAAAGGUUGAAGACUCUAAGUUUCAAGAAGAAAGUGUCGUUUCGAUAAGUUGAUUGUGCCUUUUGAUGUUAUUUGUGGUUAAUCAUGCCCAAAACCGAGUCAAGUGCUUAUCUCUAAUAGAACUAUGCGAGAGCCACUAUGGGCACCAUCUCCACUGCCCCUAGAGGAGCCAUCUCUCUACACUACUAGUGUAAGUAGCGUAGGUGGCAAGCCUAGCAUCACAACCACAAUGAGCCACACCUUGCUAGAGAUGGUAGUGCCAGUCUUCUCAUUCGGUGUUGGGUACAAGGAUGACUAAGAGAGCAUGCACCAUUUGUAAAUGUUGUGCUUGCUGCAAGCAAGGCAUUUGAUAGUGCUCAUAAGUUGAGGCACGUAGUAAGAGGAUUAUAGAGAAGGAAGCCCCAAACUUUGAAGAUACCCAACCUUGAAAGCCACACACUCCAUUAUAUUUGUCUUUAUGUGGUUGUUAAUGUUUAGUUCAUAAGUUGUAGACAAUGCCCUUGUGUACUCGUACCACAUCUGAUCAUGUCCUUCUCAAAAUAGAAAUCUCCACUACUACCCCAAAAUCCAUCUUUUACCGUUUUGGAAAUUCUUUGACGCAACACCCUUUCUUCAUUGAUUCCAUCAUUAAGGCCUAGCACUUUCCUCACCUCCUACCCACCCCAUGCUGCUAUUAUCUAUUGACUUAAGCGCACAAGGGCGGCUACCAAAGGAUGGCUAAAAUACUAUGGUUCUUGCUCCCAGUGGGAGAAUGAUUGCAAACUUGACCUCCGCUUACUUGAUGCCAUGGAAGAAAUCUGCCUACUUACCACAUAUGAACUCUUUCCUUGAUCUGUUGUAGUGAAGCCCUAGCUCGUACUUUUAAAGAAAGCUCCUCCAUUGGAAGAAAAGGACAAAAGUGUGCGCCAAGCUUGAGUGUGAUUAAAACACCAAAUAUUUACAUGCUUGUGCCACUCAGUGCCUAUGGAGGAAUAAUAUUCUGGACCUUGAGCAUGAUGGAUGUGUGGUCACUAUGCAUAUAUAGAAAGUGCAAAAUCUUCUCAACUUCUUCACAUACCUCCUUGGCACCGCAUGCACACCUGUUUGGCACUUCAAUUUGAAUUUCAUUUACACCAGCAUGCCCUAUUCACCCUUUUUUUUAUAUCUCCUUUGACAUUUUGCAAAUGCACCCCAACUAGCCUAGGACUCGAUGAUUAUCAGCCAUCCUUCUAGAAGUUUGUUGAGCAUGUCUCUCCCACCAUUUUUUCUCUCUUACAGUGGGCUUUCCACUCCCAUAGUGCUGAGCUAGAACAUAUCAAUCACUCAUUCAUUAUUCUCAUUCCAAAGAAAGACUAUGUUCGUACACCUUCUGAUUUUAGUCCCAUCUCUCUACUACAUCAUCAAAGCCAUAUCCAAUGUCCUAACCAUCUUCUUAUAGCCGCUCAUUCGCUUGCUCAUAAGCAAGGAUUUGUAAGAGACAUUGGAAUGAUUGAUUGUAUUCCAUGUAUUGUAUAGAGGUACAUAUAGGCAGCUAGGGUGUCAAGCAAGCCAACUGCAUAGGCGCAAGAUUACAAUCACAAUUAAGAGAGAACUUAAUAUAAUUACAUUAUGCUAUCAAUCCCUCAUAGUUUGAUUGGGAGCAUGUGAAUGUUUAGGCUGGAUCAAAACUCUUGAAACACAGAGGUGGGAGGCCUUUGGUGAAGACGUCGGCAUACUAGGAUGUCAUAGGGACAUAAAGGACCUGAACCUAGCCAAGGGCGACUCACUCCUGAACAAAAUGGAGAUAAAUCUGAAUGUGCUUCAGGCGUUGAUGCUGGACUAGGUUGGUGGAGAGAUGAACUACACUGUCACGGUAGACCAAUGUGGCGUGAUGAGGUAGGUGGCAAAGCGCCAUGAGUAACUAGCGUAGCCAAGAAGCUUUAACAACACCAUUUUGCAUGGCUUGAUACUUGGCCCCUGCACUCAACCGGGAGACUGUAUGUUGUCCAUGGUGAUCGCAGUGGCCCCUUGCACCUGCUACUGGUGCCCCACUGAGAUGUUACCUGUCCCUCACGCAUCCAUGGGUGGUUACCAUCCAGAUACGACUGUAUGAUAGGUCUAGCCGCAUCUGCCAUGCUAGUGUUGGGUGUGGACGGGACAUCAAGAGGCCAUGCGGAGGGAGGUGUGGAAAACAACUAGGCAGAGGGCAAUGAUAGUGGUCUUGCCUCAUGCUCGAUCUCCUCUAGCAGGAGAUGAGUUUGAGCCUCCACAAACUUCAAGAACAGGCAAUGCAUCUUGAGGAUGGACACCAUGUGGUGGAACUAAAUGUUCAAGCCAUGGAGGAGCAUGAUGACCAUCAACUGAUUGAGUCAUCAAACUCGAUGAGGGAGGUGGCCAUGGACUCGAGGCGACGACAAUAGUCGGUGAUGUUCAUGGAGCCUAGAUGGAAGUUGCAAAAUUGUCUCUCAAGGUGGAGCACAUGGGACUCAUGUUGGCUGAGGAACUCAUCCUUGAGAUAGCACCAGGCUCCAUGAGUAGAGAUCUAUCGCAGCAUCAGUGGUUGUUGCAGGUCAUUAGAGACGGUGCCAUAAAUUCACGUCAAGGUGGUGCAGUCUGUUUGCACCCACGCUAGGCAUGAGGGGAAGGACUCUCCUCAAGAACAAGGUGAGUUAGGGCAUAUUUGCUAGGACGAUGAGGAACAGGCCACACCACUUGUUGUAGUUGUUGGUGGCCUAGUCGAGUGAGAUGGGGAUCAAGACAUGGAUGUUGACAAUGGUGGUGCCCUGCUCCUAGAGAUCCUCAUGGGUGGACUCAUACAUGUCCAUGGUAGCGGCCGGAGGCAAGCCUCCUUGACCGAAUGGGCCUCCUUGGCGUGACAAGUGGCCUUGAUCUGCUCAGCGCAACAAUGGUAUUUAGCCUCCUAGGGAGACAUGGCCAUGGCAGCAUCAUCAUCAUCUAGCAUCAGCAAAGGAAGGGCAACACAUCAAACCGGUGGUUGCAGGAGCACUAGCAAUUGGAUCGGUCAUGACGUUGGAGUCAGAGACGAGGCAGGGCGAUUAGAUCGGUGGCAAGCUUUGGUGCGGAAGUGUAGCAGAUUGUAACACGAAUGAUACCAUGUAAGAGUGAUUGGAACAAUUGAUUAGAUUUCAUAUCUUGUACAGAGGUACAUAAAGGCAGCCAGGGUGGCAUGCAAGCCAACUGCAUAAGCACGAGAUUAUAGACUUAAUUAAGGGAGAACCUACUAUAAUUACAUUAUGCUAACAUGAUCAAUCUAGUGUUGAUCAUGUCAAUUCAACCACUGUUUCUCUAACUCCUGGUGUGCUUGGGUGCUCAAUCUUCUCACCUCUGAUAAUGAACAAUCUUCUCGGUGAUGGAUCAUGUGUAGGGAAACAAAGCUUCACCAAGGGGAUCCUAUAUCCUACCUCUUCAUCACAAUCGAUAUCACAGAGGUCAUUAGCAAGCGAGGCACAGGGGUGACAAGGGUCGAGGAUGGUGAUGGUGGUUGUGCCUUGUGCUCGAUCUCCUCCAGCAGGGGAUGAGUUUGAGCCUCCACAAACAUCAGAAAAUGGGCGAUGCAUCUUGAGGAUGGACACCAUGUGGUGGAAUUGACCGUUCAGGCCAUAGAGGAGCAUGAUGACCAUUGACUCAACACUGGUUGGGUCACCAAACUCGGCGAGGGAGGUGGCCAUGCACCCGAGGCGGCAGCAGUAGUUGGUGAUGUUCAUGGAGCCUUGAUGGAAGUUGCAAAAUUGUUUCUUGAGGAGGAGCAUGUGGGGCUAUCAGUGGCCAAGGAACUCAUCCUUGAGAUUGCACCAGGCACCACGAGUAGCUAGAGAUCUGUUGUAGCAUCAGCGACUGUUGCAGGUCAUUGGAGACAGUGUCGUAGAUUCACGUGAAGACGGUGCAGUCUUUCUGCACCCACGCCGAGCGUUUUUUUUCCUUGAGCAGCACGAAAUUCAUGCAAAUUCACUAGUCGGUCGAUGAAACACCGACAGGAUGGUAUCUAAGAGCUUGUAUCCAAUCACCCAUUUCUGAGACCACCUAGUUUCUUUCAAAAAAAGUAUGUACUAGAAUAUGAAUGAAAUUUAAAAUUCUAUGUUGGUCAUCACUAGGAUGAUACCUAAGAGAUUGUAUCCCAUCAGUACUGCAUUAUUCAGAUUUUAUGACCACAGGGAAUCACAUAUCCACAUACAUUCUAUGUUGGCCAUAGUUAAUCUUCUGUAGGGUUAUCCGGUAGUUAUGAAAGACCAUCAUAUUUUAUCUGAGAUGAUAAUAUAUUACUUACACCAAUGGGGUAAGAUAUUGCGGACAAUAUAUUAUUCUAUAUACAUGUGGAGUGAAGAAUGAAUGAAAUUUCAAAAUAGUUUAAGUGCAUACCAGAACACUUCUUAGCCGGAUCAGCUGGCUCCUGCAAGGACAAAUAAAUUAGAACAUAUGUAGUGUCAAUUAAUUUAACAACAGCAAAAGCUCUAAAGAUAGACACAUGGUAAUGCCAACAUAUAUAGUUCAAAGGAGUAAACUAUAUAUGGUAGGUUUAGUUUGUUCAGAGAACUUAUACCUUUUGUUUUUCCAACAGACAAUCAAGAUAAUUAAGAACUUGUUUUUUUGAGCGAAAUCUGCCAUGCGUCUUAUGCUUGUAUGUCUACAAAACAGAAACAUAUACAAUAGUUAAGAACAUGGAGUUGUCUAAAAAUAGUCUGACAACACUGGCUAAUAUGACCAUAGAAUAGUGGGCAUUGUUAUCACAUAAUGUUUUAAUCCCUCCACACAUGAUUAAUAAUAUUCCAUUAUUGGACCAUUAAAGGAGCAACUUAAUUAUUGUAUUCUCAUGUUUUGUAGUCAUAUAUUUUUCAAAUUUGUAUAUAUAUAAGCAGAAUAGAAAGAGUGGACAAAAUAUAUUCACAUGUAAUGUCUGUUUGUGGUAAUGAUAAAAUAGCUUGGUGAGACAAUUUCAAAAUUUAAACUUGUCGGUGCCUUUUUGAUAAUCAGACUACCUAGUAAAAUGACAUGGCUAAAACAUAACAUCAAUAAUUAUACCGGAGAUUUCAGUAAUAGGACCACAAUCACAGGGAACAAAUGUAAGUAAGAUUCACCAUGAAUGCAUCAUAGUAGAGGGUUUUCACAGUGAUUAGUCAAGACAAUGGAUGAAAACAAGAUAAAUAUGUGUAGCUCAGGAACACGAAGACACAAAGGAAUUGUGAAAAUUGGUUAGACCAAUAUGGUAGCAUCUUUGUUCCAAAUAGAAGUUACAAAAUAAAUGGAUACUGAAAGCAAGGAUUUAAAGUCCAGUUCUUUUGUCCUUAGGCACCAACUUCUUCCUUGGAGGCACAUAUCAUGGCUUCCAUCUUGCAUCUUGGGUUCUUUGUAAGCACCUAGUCCAUGCUGGAAUGGGUGAUGUCAGCAUCAGUGGUGUAACGCUCCUCCUUGUAGGCAUUACCUUAGAAUUGGCAGGAUAUCUCAGUUUUGUUAUAGCUGUGGGCAAUGGUCUUUUGUCUAUCAAGUGGCGGCAUGUUGGUUUCAUGGUCAUAGUUUCAAUCAACUGGCUGAUGGAGUGAUUUUUUUCAUAGGUUGGCUUUAGCUUUGAUUCUACUCUUUUUAUUAUUUUUCUAGUGAUUGUAAUGUUUUAUUUCACAUGUAACUUUGGACAUAUGCAGGUAGUUGUAAUCAGUUUCAUCUAAUGCAUCCUAGGAAGAGGAGAAACCAAAAUUUCAUCCAUUGUCUAAAAAAAGAUUCAGGUUGUGCACACACCAAUCUGAAUAUGGAUAGAUCAAUCAGCAAAUUGUAUUUUGAUAGAUCCAAAGAAAAGGUUAUAUAGCCUGAUAAAUUCCAACAUAUAUGCCCAAAAUCAUUUCAAGAAUUGGAACAGGAUGGUAACUACUAAUCAUAGACUAGAUGAGAUGGUGACAUUUUAGCAAUGGUGGUCGUUGCAUAUAGACUCGUUAAACAUGAACACAAAUCACUCUAAGCUCUGUUAAAAUUAAAUACCUACAUAAGAGAAUAGGCCAGGGAUGAUGCUAGUUUUGUGGAGGUAAUUUUUUAGAUAAAGUUGAUGGCAUGGAGGCUAGGGUGCUUGUGCUAUCAUAACUAGCAUGUGGAAGGUGACCAUCAGGGCAAAGUCGAAGCUGCACCACUGACAUUCAGAGUUAACUGCAAAGGGAUAUAUGUAGUAGGUGAUGCAUGGGUGGAGUUCCUUAGAGGUCUCAGUUUUUGGGAUAAUAAGUGCACUGGAGUUACAUUGGUUGAUUGGCAGUGAUGAAUAAGGUUGGAUUAUUGUAUGGCGGAAACUGAUUUGAUGUUAUAUAGGCAGGAACAACACAUUCUCAAUGCUGAAAAAAGAGACUGAGAACCUUUCUUUUCUCUCCAUAUGAACAAGAUAAAUUGGUUGACCACUCUUAAGUGGCAGGAAUUAAUUAUAUGUGCCUCUUAGCAGGAGAAACAUAUUAGUUUUUCAGGCAUUUGAUGAAGUAUGAACAUAUUUAGUUGAUACCAUCAUCAAUCAUGCUUUGCUGAUUGUUAGAAUAUAGUGAUAAUUUAAAUCUGACUCAGCAAACAAGAUAUCAGAAAGACCAAUGACAUUAGAUUAUUAUAAUCCUACCUUUGGUUUUUUUCCAUUGUCAAGUUGAUUUGUUGGUGGACCUCAUGUGAACACGAAAAGAUAUAUUUUUGUUUAUAGAAUCUAGCAAACUUGAAUCAGCAAUGACCUGGGGCGCAGCUUUUGAGUGUAUAUUACUAGAUUUUACAGUGAAGCAAGUUACAUCCUGGUAACAAAUAAUAUAUAGUUACUAGACAAUAAAUUUCAUAUAAACUUUUGGAAGUGUCAAAUAUGAUGAUGUUACUAAAUCAAUGUUGAGUAAAUAAUUCCAUAAUUACAAAAACAAAUUAUAAUAACCCCACAUUCCAUUUGGAGACAUUCAGAAAUAAAUCAUUUCUUUUGUACACUAGUAGGUAAGGAGAGAUGACAUAAAACAUCAAACAAAUAUCAAAACAUCGAAAUUUUUUUAUAUAAAACAGAAAUUGAUAGUAUAAUGAAAAAACUAAGGAAGGAAUGAGUCAUUACUAAAUCAACCCUUCCAUCUUCCCUGCAGCUGCGGAGAACCUUGCAUCCACCAUGAUAUGCUGGAUGCAACAGAAUUUGUCUUGGCGUGCAGACAACAUGUUCCCCCAUAUCCGCUGUAGUCAAGGGCUCAAUAUCGAGUGGUGUAUCACUUGCAUUCAUGUUUUGUACAACACAUGACAAAUGAGAAGGAUAUAACAGAAAUAAAAAAGCUGAACAAGUGCGAUAUAUACUACUACACCAUAUGAGAGGUUUUUUUAGACAACUUGAAAACUCCUGUGCCUCAUAUAGUAUUAUCAGAAAUUAUGUGUAUCUAUUUACAAGUGUUCCGUCCCAUAUUUCAUAGAGUAUCAUCCAUUUAAUAAACUCAUGGAUGCUACAACUGGAGUUCUGUUGUGUAUAGAUAAACAUGACAAGUGUAUGGUAAUUUCUAGAAAAGUUCCAAAUGUUGGAUUUACGGUGUUGCAGGUGCCAAAAAUGUUAGGCUACUUAUGUAAUUUUGGUGCUCAGAGGACGACACUCCAUCUAGUAAGUCAACAUUGUUGGGGGCAGUUGUGCAUUUUUGGGUGGUCAUUCCUUGGCUGUAUCCUUAAAUGAAAUGUCUGCCUCUGAAAUUUAGCAUUUAUUUUGAGAGGCAACAACAUAUUUUGACCUCCUCUGCUAAUAGAAAGCUUUGUCUCCUAAAAUCAUUAUUGUAGUACCGAGGCCAUUGAUAGGGGUGGUUUUGUUGGGAAUGUGCCCUAGAGGUAAUCAUAGAGAUGAUGAUAUUACAAUUGUAUCCAUGACAUAUAUUAUGAGUUAGAUGAAUAUCCAUUAUAGACAAACUUGUAUUGAUUGACAAUUAUGUGAAUUGUUUGUGAAACUCUUUUACUUGUAUUGUUAUUCUAAAGUUGUCCCUGAUCAGAGUUCAUGUGAGGACACACAUGAAUUUACAUUAGCACAUGUAUUAGUUGAUGACUAUGUUUCACAAGUCAUAGACAUAGAGUUGUCAAACUAAUAAUGUGGGCACGUUUAUGACAUGGGGCUGGACUGACCCAACAUGAGAUGUUCUUAUUAUCUCUUUAUAUAUCAUGUACGUUAUGUCCUUUAUGUUCUCAAGAUGUGAAACGACCUACUUAGGGACUAUUAAACGCUACUCCGUAACAGGGUAGUUAUAAAGGUGGUCUUUGGGUUUGUCGGGAAACAUGUUGUGAGGCAUAGAUGAUCAAGAUGGAAUUUUCCCCUCUCUAUGUAAGAGAGAUAUCACUGGAUCACUCAAGUGAUUGGAUCAACAAAUGCAUGGCUGUGCUUGGGUUAAGUGUUAACCCACAAGUUGGACCAAAUAUCGUGUGGCAAGGGAAUAACAUGUAUGUGGAUGUAGUGGUUCGUCUGAUAUGAUCUUUGCGUGCAUAUAGGAGUUGUCACGCCUUGCUAGAGGCCGCUGUCAACUAUUGGGCGAGUAGGAGUACUCGGCCCAUGUCUAUAUGUAUGUGAACCCAUAGGGUCGCACGCUUAAGGGACUGGAAGCCUAAUUCGAGUUGGACCCGAAUUAGACAAGGCUUAGGGUUUUCUAAUUGGGCCUCUGAACUGGGGCUAAUUGGAGAAUGCCUAUAUAAGAGAGGAAGGGGGCGUGGCCAGGGUUAACUCACGCCAUUAGGCAGCCGCCGCCGCUCACCCACGCUCGCGCUAUUGCUCCUCGCGGACCUAGCAGUCCGGAGGCGCAACGCUUCUUUCCCGCACGUGUGGGAUACCUCGGAGGUGCUGCAUCUGGAGCACAAGUACGAACCACGGGAGAGGGAUUGGCGUGGUGGACGACCACGCAACUGCACGACACUGCUACUACGCGCACGACUACACCGAGUCACUUCCACUGCACCUGCGCAUCUAGUGGUAAUCCUGUGAUCUAUAACUAGCAGUUGAUCCUAUUUUAUGAGGUUGAAAUUUUUGUUUCCUAGCUAGCGUAGCGUCCUCAUAAUCCAUCAAGUUGUGCAUGAGCGGUCAUGGAAUAUUUUUUCAAACAAUUUGUGGGGGAGAUCACCACCUUCUUUUUCAUUGACCGAGAGUGCAGCAGAGCACAGUACAAAAUACAACCAGAAGCGAAUAUACGUUGACUCGUCGGGCUUGUCUGACAUCGAUGAUUUUUGCAGUCGCCCCUAUACCCACUAGUGAUCUUUAUCUGGCUUAGACCUCAAUAAAAAUAUGUGCAAUCUCGGCAGUUUGGCAUCCCAGUAGCAGCAGUCCAACUAUCUCCUCAGACCUCACUCCAUCCAACGGUCCAUUCGCUGGCCAAGAAUACCAAACAUUGUCUUGCCUCCUUUCUCCGCUACUUGGCCGCACCCUUUCAUGUUCAUUAUUCUCGCAUUGCAAAUCCUCAAUGGGGGCAUUUAGCCGACACCUACCGGACAACGCACAGUAGCACAACUUAUCAGCGGCUGCCAGAAAUAAGCACCAUGGCCUCCAUGCUCAAGUUCUCAUCGGCUGGACGAGGUAUCCCAAAUACCCCAAAUUGUAUUUGGUAAAUAAUGAUCAACUGAUCAUGUUUUUAUUGAGAAUUAUUAGGGUAACAGGCCAGGUUUUAUCUUUUCAGCUAUACAAUUCUAACUCAGAAAUCAGACACUACAUUAUGUUCCUUGCAUUCCAGCAAAGUGCUCAUUCAUUUAGACCAAGACGCCAGGUAUCUAUAUGCUACUUUUGGGUAAGUAGUGACUUUUAACUACACUAAUGAAUAAUGCUUGCACAUUGGUAUCUUCUAUAAUUUUUUUAUUGUAUGAAUAAUUUGAUAGGGAAUCAAAGAAAGCAGAUUGGAAGGUACCCAAGCCAGUGAUAAUGUGAAUAAUAAUGGCGAUACUUCAUGAACAAGAAGAGAUGGAGAUGUCACUAUACAAACACUAAUUGUACUAUUCAGCGCAUUUUGCAGAUAUAAUGAGAGGAGCGAGGUAAGUUUUCAUGAGCUUCCUUGUAAGCUCACCUGGUUUUAUAUCUAAUUAAAUAGGUCAAAAGCUGCAAAUUAGUCUGAAUGUGAACUGGCAGGAGAUCAAGAUAUGAUCACUGGUUUCAAGAGGUUCCAGAGAAGUUCAAGCAGUGCAUAUCCUCAAGAGAAUGAAUUUUCUUAUAAGUAGAGAUUUUCCCAUGAGCUUGCAAGGAAGCUAGCCCUAAAUCUUUUGAAUCACAAUAAGUUCGGGGAUGUUGGCCUGCAUUAGACAGUAGGCACAUUGCCUAGAGAAAAGAUGGAAAGGCAUCCAUCACCCUGAGUCUAGAAGAAUUUCUGAGGGUCACAGAGGCCGCAAGUGCCAGAUUCAGGUCUUGCAAGUCGGAGAGAGGGAUGUGAGACCAUUAGCGAGAGUCUCGUAGACAUUUUGGUUGAGCUUGAUGGAGUUUGAGAACAUGGCGGGGUAUAUGUCAGCAAUGAAUCUAGGUCAAAGCCAAUUAUCAAGCCAAAAAUAGGUGGUGAGCCCAUCGCUAACAUGAACCUUGGUGAGCAACUUGAAGUGAGGCAGCUCCUCCCAAAUGAUCUAAGCCUGGAAGGAACCAGAUGACUGCUCGACUAUAUCAAUGUCCACCCUGUCUAAGCAACCACAACUUGCAUGGGAGAAUGUCAGCGCCAAGAAGUUUGUGGACAAAUUUCAUCAGCCAGAACCUGCAUCCCAUGUGAUGAGGCAAUUUGAUCCAUGACAUUUGUCAAAUUGUCGUCCCUAGUCUAGAGGAAGGCCCAAUGUCUACUACCAAUGGCAUCUCUAACAGUCUUUUUUUAGGAAUCAGAUCUCUAACAGUCUUCCCUUAGGGAGUAGCAUAGCAAGCAUGUCAAGCAUUGCAUGGAAAGUUUAUCCCCCACUCUCCAGCCAUAGCUGAGAAGCCUAGACUUCCACCCGGCAAGGUAUCUAUCAGUUAAAGGUUGGUAGUCAACAAGCCUAGGUUUAUAUAUAACAGUAUAUACCUAGGCUUGUUGACUGCCAACCUUUAAUCGCCUCCAAUCCUUUGAUAUAUAUAUAUAUAUAUAAGGAAGGCCAGGUAUGUGGGAUCUGAGGUGACAACAGAUCAGCAACCCAGGAUGUUUGCCAUCAAUGAGGCCCUGAAUCUUCGAUGUUCAUAGGGAUGAACAUCGAUUUAUGGAAGUUGAUGGUAAGACCCAUGGCUCAGGACAAAGACCUAAGAGUUUCGCUUAGAGUACUAAUGGCAUAGAUACCUCCGUCCACAAGAAUGAUGGUGUCAUCUGUAUAUACUAAAGAACAGGACAUGGGAGAGACGGGCCAAUUGGGUGGCAUGGAGCUGGUGUGCGCAUGAUCAUGCAUUGCAAAACGUUCACCAUGAGAAUAAAUAGAUAGGGAGAGAUAGGAUCCUCUUGUUGAAGCCAUCGAUGGCAAUUGGACUAACAACUAGGGAUCACGUUAAGUAGAACUACCCAUUCUGCUAGUGUCGAUGUCGGAGCUCCAUCAGGAAUCAAAGCCACGUGCCUGGGAGGAUGGCAUCAAUGCUACUCUAGUCCACAUAAUUGAAGGCCUUCUUGAAAUCGAGCUUAAGGACCAUAGUGGCAUAGUGGGAGCAUGUCGCCUAUGACAGCAGUUCAGGAGGUUUGCAACAUAAACAAAGUUCUCAUCAAUAUUUCACCCAUGAACAAACCCAGUUUGGUUAGCAUCUUUCAAGGUAGGGAUGAGCAGCGGAAGGCGGUUUGCGAGGACUUUGUUGAAUAGUUUCAUGGGGCAAUUUUGAAGGGAUCUGAAGGCAUCUGCAGUGUCUGCACCAUCUAUUUUAGGGAGAAGGACCAGGAACGUGCGAUUCAGCCAAUCCAGAUUCAAGAUGCCAUGGAAGAAGGUUUCAAUGAGGUGUGUAAUAUCAUUUUUUACAGAAGGCCAGAUUGCCCCAUUAAAGAAGAGACCAAACUCAUCUGAGCCAGGGCUAGCGUUUGUGUCUGUAUCACAUAAAGCAUUCGAAAUUUCUUCCAUAAAGAGGAGGUCAUGGAGCUUUUUUGAAGCCCAUUCACUGAUUCACAGCAGCCUCACGGAUCGGAGAGCAUUUUCAAUGUGGCUAAUGAGGGGGGCGGCAUUGAUCAAGGGCAUUUACGAGGAUCCGAAGAUCGUGUAGAAAGGUGAAAUGAGAGCCAACAGUUUCUCUAUUGAUCUCUGAAUAGUAUAUGUAGUGUUACAUCAGAGUUGCAUCGGCAACCGUCUACAUUACAUCGUGAGCGUGGGAGCAUGGUCACCGCGCACACACGCGGUCAAGGGCGCCGUGGCCAGCUAUGCUACUGCCUAUUACAUACAUCCUCAACACCCCCCCCCCCCCCCGCAGCCUGAUGGGUGAUCGGCAGCACACAAAGACUGGAGUGAAAAUUCUCAAACGAUGCCGUCGGCAGCCCUUUCGUUUUGAUGUCUGCAAAUUGCUCAGCCAUAGGAACAUGUAGAAUGCGCAGCUCACCCAACUGAACUCUUUCGCGGACAAAAUGAAUAUCGAGUUCAAUAUGCUUCGUGCGCUUGUAGUGUACAGGGUUUGAGGACAUGUAUACUGCUGAGACAUUGUCACAGAACACCACCGUGGCCUUGGAGAUCUUGCAGUGGAGCUCACCAAGUAGCUGUCAUAGCCAAAUACAUUCGGCAGCCGCAUUGGCCACAGCACGGUACUCGGCUUCCGCGCUGGAUCGUGACACGGUCGGCUGCCUCUUCGACGACCAGGAGAUCAAGGAGUCACCGAGAUAAACACAGAACCCAGAGGUUGACCGCCGCGUGUCCGGGCACCCGGCCCAAUGGGCGUCAAAGUAUGCCGUGACGUUGAUGUCGGUAGAGGCACGCAGGUGAAUACCGUGCGACGUUGUGCCAUGUAUGUACCGCAGUAUGCGCUUGAGCAGCGUCCUGUGCGGCGACCACGGGUCAUGCAUGUGGAGACAUGCUUGCUGCACGGCGAAGGCGAUGUCCGACCGUGUCAUCGUUAGAAACGUACUGCAGCACGCCCGCGAGAUUGUGGUACGCCAUCGCGUCAUCCGUGGGUGGGCCGUCGGAGGAGAGUUUGUUCUUGGCGUCGAUUGGUGUUGGGGCAGCCUUGCAGUUCAUCAUCCCGGCACGAUCAAGGAUAUCUCUUCCACAUACCGUUCCUGGGAGAGGUAAAAGCCAUCCUUGGUAUGCUUCACGUCGAUGCCGAGAAAGAACCGCAGUGGCCCCAUGUCUUUGACAGCGAACUCAGCUCGGAGACGGUCGAUGAUGUGCUGCAGCAAGGCUGUGCUCGACCCAGUGAGGACGGUAUCGUCCACGUAGAGAAGGAGAUAGACAAUGUCUGUGCCGCGACUAAGAAUGAAGAGUGAGGAGUCAGAUCGCGUUGCCUGGAAGCCCAGCGUGGUAACAAACCCGGCAAACCGAGUGAACCAUGCGCGCGGAGCUUGUCGAAGACCAUACAACGAUUGGCAUCAACGAAGCCUAGGUUGUUGACAAAGUACAUGUUCAUGAAGAUGCCCAUGGAGAAAGGCAUUAGAGACAUCGAGCUGUUUUGUUGCUCACUGUCGAGAAGCAGCGAUGGUCAGGACAGUGCGAAUGGUGGUAGGCUUCACCACAGGUGAGAAUGUUUCCCCGAAAUCUAUCCCAGCAUGCUGAGUGAAGCCACGGACCACCCACCGCGCUUUAUAGCAUUCCAGCGACCCAUUCGGUUUCAGAUUGUGGCGAAAGACCCACUUUCCGGUGACAAUGUUAGCACCGGGCGGCCGAUCGACGAGACGCUAGGUACGAUUGCGCUGAAAAGCUUCAAAAUCAAGAGCCAUGGCUGCUCGCCAGUUUCGAUCCCUGAAAGCUGCGCGAGCAGUGGAAGGGAUAGGUGAGAUGACCGGCGUGGAUGAGUCCUGACAAGUGUUCUGGGCAUAUCGAGGAUUGGGCUUGAAAAGCCCUGCCUGAGAGUGAGUAUGCAUAUGAUGAACCGGAGCCAGUGCCGCUGGUAUAUUUGCUGGAGCUGGGGAGGGUGAUGGCGUGGGUGUAUGUGGAGCUGCCGCAGUUGGGGAUGGUUGUGGUGUGGGGGCUGAAAGACACGCUGCUGAACACGCUGAUGAAGAAUGACAGGUUCGUCAGGUACUGUAGCCGGUCCGGCUGCUGUUGAUGGAAUUGGUGGUGCAGAACGAAAUGGGAAUUGAGUUUCAUCAAAAACAACAUGGCGAGAAGUGAUUACUCGACGAGUUUGAAGAUCAAGGCACCGAUAACCACGGUGAUCAGCUGGGUACCCAAGAUGGACACACGGCAUUGAUCAAGCACUCAGCUUAUGCGGCAUUGUUGAUGACUGAUUUGGAUAGCAUAGACAUCCGAAAACACGAAGAUGACUGUAAGAAGCUGGUGUGCUUAGUAGGAGCUGGAAUGUCUUGCUUGGCCGCUGGCUCGACAACAGCGCUGAUUGAGAAGGUGAGUAGCUGUGGACAGUGCUUCCACCCAAUAUGUAUAGGGCAUACUGGCAUGGAGAAGCAGACUAUGAAUGCAGUCGUUCAGAGUCCUGAUGAUGUGUUUGGCUGUGCCGUUUUGAGAAGAUGUGUAUGGGCACGAUAAUCUAAAGGAAACACCAUUGUGUUCGAGAUGAUGAUGAAAUGCUAUGUUAUCAAAUUCCUUCCCAUUGUCGGUUUGAAAGGCAAGAAUAGAUAAUUGAAACUGGGUGUGAACGUAAGCAUGAAAAGCAAGUAAACAUGGAAAGACAUCAGAUUUAUUUCUCAGUGGAAAUGUCCAGACAUAAUGAGUAAGAUCAUCAAUUAAAACAAGGUAGUAUUUGAAACCACUUAAACUAGACACCGGAGAAGUCCACACAUCAGCGUGCACAAUCUGAAAUGGUACAUAACUGACUGAACGGGGAUCUGAAAAAGGAAGACGAACGUGCUUGCCGAGCUGACAAGCGUCACAAGUUGGCUUGGUGGAGGUGAACUCAAGGUUGCGGAGCGUCUGUUGCAGCAUGCGAUGUCCUGGAUGUCCCAAACGCUGAUGCCAGAGCUCAACAGUAGGGGUGGAGUUGACAGUGGAGACGAGGGCCUCUGGCGUUGCUGGUGCCACAGAGGGUAGAGCUCGCCGUCACUAUUACAUCGGAGGAUCACCGAGCGAGUGGGAAGGUCCUUAACAGAGAAACCGAAUGCAUCAAAUUCCACAGAGACAUUAUUGUCACGAGUUAAUGAACGAACAGAAACGAGGUUCUUGACAAGAGAGGGACCUUAACAGAGAAACCGAAUGCGUCAAAUUCCACAGAGACAUUAUUGUCACAAGUUAAUGAACAAACAGAAACGAGGUUCUUGACAAGAGAGGGAGAGACUAGAACAUUGGACAGGAAAAGGGGUGUUCGGCUUGUGGGAAUGAUGGUGGAGGAACGAUGAGUUACUGGCAACGUGGCACCGUUGCCAACUGUGAUCGGAGGAGAAUUAUAACCUGGGGUAGGAGAGAAGAGAUUACCAGCAUUGGAAGACAUAUCCAUGAACCACUCAGCCGGCUGUGGAGGAGUUGCCGAGGAGUUAGUCGCGUUCAGUGCGGCGAGCAGUGCCUGAUGGUUCCAUGGAUCCAUGGGAGGAGGUGGUGGUGUGAUGCCGGAGGAGAAUGAGGGUUGAUCGGCGAAGUAGGCUUGGUGCGGCGAGGACCCAGACGAGGACCGAGGACACCAACAGCUGGGACACGCCAUGGCAUGGACCAGGCCGGUCCACUGGUUCUGACCCGGUGUCCAGCUUGUGGGAGGCCAAGGGGAUGAGGAACUGCCUGGAUGGUGACCACGCCCACGACCGCGGCCACGUCCGCAUCUGGUGUCUUGGCGGUUCGACGCGCCAUGAGAUCCGCCAGAAGACUUGGGGGCAGUUGUUGCGGAGCUGGAUCCAGAAUUGGUGGUGGAGUUGGAACCGGAGUCAGUCGAGGUGGGUGCGGUGGGAUGAGGGCCGCCGGUGGUGAGCAAGGCGUGCUGCGCCGCCGACUUGGCAUGCUCCUUGUCGUACUGCUCCUCCAAGAGAAGGUAGGAACGCGCUGAGAAGAAGGUGUGCGGUGGCUGCUUCGACAUGAUCGUAGAGAUGGCAUGACGAUACUUGGAGCUGAGGCCAUGCAGCAUGUUCAAGACCUGCUGGCUCGUCUCACGAAUAGGCUGGCCGACGUCGCGGAGGGCAUCAGCAAGCUGCUUCAAGCGGCCGGUGUAUUGAGUGAUAUCCAUGUCACCUUGCACCAAAUUUCGAAACUCCGCCUCCAGAUAGACAGCACGAUGGAACUCGUUGUCGCGGAAUUGCUCAUGGAUGGCAGUCCAGACGCGGUAGGAAGUUGCCUUGGGCGCACGAACGAUGUCACGAACAUCCUUGGUGAUGGAGAUGUACAGCCAGCUCAAGAUGCACAGGUCACGUAGGUGCCAAUCGGGAUCAUGGCGCUGGUCGGAGCUUGGCGGAGAAGAGACAUGGGAAGUGAGGCCGAACUUGCCGAGGAACGCAUUGAAGAAGCAGCGCCACUCUUCAAUUAGUUCGGCGCAGUGAGUUCAAGGAUGACCGGAACAUGAGAUUUGAUGUUCACAGUCUGGAGCACAGCGGUGGGAGGGGUGGUUACAGCUGGAGUGUUGGCAUCUCCGUCAACAGAGGAGGUGUAGGAGGCGAGGGUGGUGGUCUCGGAAUCAGAGUUGUCGAGACCAAAGAGGGGGUUGUCGUCCAUGGUGGGCAUGGCGACUGAAGGGCACGUCGAGGCUGAUCAGCGAUGCGCAGUGGAGAAAGAGGAUGGCGAGAAAGGAAGGAGGAUCAACCCGUACUAGCUGAUACCAUGUAGAAAGGUGAAAUGAGAGCCAACAGUUUCUCUAUUGAUCUCUGAAGAGUAUAUGUAGUGUUACAUCAGAGUUGCAUCGGCAACUGUCUACAUUACAUCGUGGGCGCGGGAGCAUGGUACUGCCUAUUACAUACAUCCUCAACAGAUCGGACUCACGCUGGUCAGGGGAACACCAUGCUUUGGACCACCAUUUACACAUGAGACAGCACUUCUUCAUGCGCCCAGAGAAAUUAUUGCUGAAACUAGAACCAAGCGAAUCAGACCAGGUGUGGGUGAGGCUGCUCUUGAAAUCGUUAUGAAGCAGCCAACAAUUCUCAAACUUAAACCCGUGUGACUUAGGGAGGUGGGUCAAAAUAGACACCAAAACUGGAACAUGUGGUCUGAGGUAUGUCUCUCGUUAGGGCAGAGAGAUUGAUGCCAGGGGAAAAGCUAGUCCCAAGCAUCAUUAACAAAUAAUCAAUCUAGCUAUGGAAAAGUAAUUCAUUCAUAGAUCUAGCAAAAAUAAGUAACUUCUUGAUUUCAUAAGCGUACCUGCAUAAUUUCACCUCCUGAUUGCCGCAAAAUCAAGAGCUGUUGCAUCACUGUUAUGCGAGACAUCCUUCUUCAGGGAAUUUGUAGUAAGAUAAGAGCCUACUUCAAAUGGAGAAGGAAGAAGACUCACAAUACGAAGAAGAAGAAGGGAACCAUACAGCUAAAAGGCACACCCUUAAAUAUAUCUAUAAGUUAAUAUAUAAUUUAUUAUAGCAUUUCCAAAGAUUUUUGUGUAUUUAGUAAGGCAUAAUGAAUAGUCUUCAAGCAACCCAUAAAAAGCUGUCAAAACAGCUGUCUUCUUCCUGCUAUACAGUAUAUGGACAUACAUGGCACCAGUACACACAUGUCACAUGCAAUUGGUGAGAUAAUAUGUUUUUUGGCGGGCUAAUUUAUGUCACCAACUUUAUUUGUUCUAUACCAUUUCUUUACUUAUGAAUGGUUAAUAUUACUGAUGUUUGAACUGCGAACACCUGAGACCAUAUGUUUAGUAAUGGAAAACAAAGAAAUUUUGUUAACAAUUCAAUAAAGACUAGUGACCACCAGUUUACAAUAACAUUGAUUUGUAUAUGAUGACUAGCAACGAAUGAACACACAAACGCCAACAACUUCUUUCAUUUUUCUAGGAUUACGAGGGCAUUUACAAUUUGUAGGAGGAUGAGUGUGUUGCCAGUGCCAGAUCACUCCCCUAGUCCUUACAACAUUAUACAAGUCCUUGCACAUAAUAUAUUUUAUUUGAUUGCAUUCUACAAUUCACUUAGAAAAAGAACCGAUGUCAAUAAGCAUAUUGUUUUCAAUAAGUUUAUUAACUUGCUACAAGUAAGGUGUGGAGUAGUUCAGAUGGUUGAAUGGAAUGGAUGCCAGGGGCAGUAAAUAUUGGCAUGAUGCUAUUGUAACACACCAGUUUCAUGUAGUUUGAAUUUGUGGAUAAUCUAGUUUGUAGUACGUAAUAACUAUCCUUAAUUCAUCCUCCACCAUUUCAUGUCGCAAACCCCAAAACCACCGAAUCAUUUGCGCCCAUGAAUGCCAAGCUCCCAAGUCAGGUUCAUGGAGUUUGGAGGUGACCAGGUGAUGACCCACUCUGCCUGCAACUGUUUCCUAUUGAGCCAAAGAACAAAUAAUGGAGUCUUUUGUGCCAUUUGAAUCACUAGAGUUAACUGUUAGCUAGCCAGCUUUGAUAGGUAUAGUUGGUAAGACACUGGUAGCUGGUUCAUUAGCUAGAUCCAAUCAAAGAUUCAAGUAAAUUUGGCAGCUAGCUCACUGUUAGCUGUGUGUGGUCAAACAGGCUCUCAUAAAUCCAACCCAUUUAUCAGCUUUCCUUUUAUUUUUCUAUUACUAUAAUGCCAUGUUUAAAUUGGCAGCAGAUCCAAACAAUCCAGCUAAUGGUAUUCAGAUUGAAUUAUCCACCUAAUUAACCAUCCAACAAAUAAAAUGUUAUACAAUUCUAUCAUAGUAGGGCACAAGCAUUUCUCGGGUACUUGGCCCACUUGUCAGCCUUUGAACGUUCUAAUUGCAUUCGCACAAGUUUCUCCCAUCCAAACAAUGACACAAGCUCAAAUAGGGUAAGCCCACCCAAUCAUCCAAACUAUUAUGAUUUUCAUGCAAGUGGUGAGAUACUUUUUUGUUUCUUGGCGGGCUAAAAGGAAAGGUAAUAUAUUUCACUAACUUUAUUUGUUAUGCCAUUUCUUUACAUUGUGAAUGGUUAAUAUUACUGAUGUUUGAAAUGCGAACACCUGAGAAUAUAUGAUUAGUAAUGGGAAACAAAAAAAAUUGUUAACAAGUCAAUAAAGACUAGUGACCACCAGUUUACAAUAACAUUGUUAGUAUAUGAUGACUAGCAACGAAUGAACACACUACACCAACAACAUUUUUCUAGGAGGGCAUUUACAAUUUGUAGGAGGAUGAGUGUGUUGCCAAGUGCCAGAUCACUCCCUGGCCUCCUUACAACAUUAUUUGUGUAUGAGUCCUUGCACAUAAUAUAUUUUAUUUGAUUGCAUUCUACAAUCCACAUAGAAAAGAACCACGGAUGUCAUAUGUCAAUUAGCAUUUUGUUUUUAAUAAGCUUAACAUGCUACAAGUGAGGUGUGGAGUGGUUCAAAUGAUUGAAGGGAAUGGAUGUUGGUAGCCACAGUACAUAUUGGCGUGAUGCUAUUGUAACACCCCAGUUUCAUGUAGUUUUAAUUUGUAGAUAAUCUUGUUUGUAGUAUGUACAUAACUAUCCUUAAUUCAUCCUCCUCCACCAUUUCACGUUGCAAACCCCUCAUCAUCCAUGCUAACCAUGGGAACUCCCAAAACCACUAAAUCAUCUACACCCAUGAAUGCUCCUUGCUUGUUCACAUGGAUGCGUCAAUGGGAUAAUUGUUCUUGUUAUCAUAUUUAUUCAAAUGACACUAGCUUAGUAUAGUGUGCGCAAAUUGUGUUGCUAGUGCUACAAUACAACAGAGCAAAUGUACAUACACAUCCUAUAGACCUUCAUCAAAUAUAUUUUCAGCCAUCAAAUAUUGAGAGCUAGCUAGAUACAAUUUGUUGUCUAUAUAUAUGUCAUCCAUUGGUUUGUACUUUGAUAGUAGGUUUAAAAAUAAUGCAUCUGGCACCGAACCAUAUAUAGGCCCAUGCAUGGCAUCAAUCAACCAAAAUAAAUUCUCUGUACGCUCCCCAGUUUGGUUUCAUGGAGUUCUGUGUGACUAUGUGAGACUCACUCUGCUGUCUACCACCGUUUCUUCUCUCCAUGUAAACAAAGAGCCGUUUGAUACGUAUAGUUGGUAAAUGGUAAUACACUGGUUAGCUGGUACGUUAGCUAGAUCCAAUCAAUUAAAUAUUCAAGUAAAUUUUGGCAACUCACUGUUAAUUAGUUGUAUGUGAUCAAACACAGGAUCUCGUAAAUCCAACCAUUUAAGCUUUCCUUUUAUUUUUUAUUACUAUAUGCCAUGUUUUAAAUUGGAUAGAUCGAAUAAAGAUGCUAAAAAAACUUCAACAGAUCCAAACGAUCUAGUUUAUAAAAUGUUAUACAUAGCAGGCACACAUAAGCAUUUCUUGGGUAAUUGCCCCACUUGUCAGCGUUUGAGCGUUCUGCUUGCAUUUGCACAAUUUCCUCCCAUCCAAACAAUGACACAAGUUCAUAUAAGGCAAGGCCCACCCAACCAUCGAAACUAUUAUGAUUUCCCAUACGAAAUCUGAAGAAUAAAAUGUAUUUUAAAAUUGUAGAGCACCACAAAAUCUUUGUACUUGAUUUUGUUCAUUUAUGAUUUUCAUACGAAGUCCAAAUAUUUGUUAAAAAUUGUGUACUUCUGUGUUUUUGGGGGAGGGGGGUCUUUAUGCUUCUGUACACAUGUAAACACUCCAUUUCUUUUAAAAGUAAAUUUAGAAUACUUCUCACAAAAAAAAAAUUUCUAGAAUCUCUCAUAUUUUAUUGUUUCUAAAAAUAUUGUCGGUAUUAAAGUUACAUAUAGGGCUGUGAGAUCUGUAACUUUUUACUUGACAAAUUUUGUUAAAAUAUAAUCUCUUAAGUGCCAAAUACCGCACUAGUUUGGAGAUGUAAAGUAAAAAUAAUAGCAUCUCUCUCUUCUAACCAGACAUGGACGGUAUAGGUGCUAUGCAUAUAGAGGUAGAAGUCCUGGGUUUGAAUCAUAGAAAAAUAUAUAUGCACAUAAUUUGUGCAGAAAUUUACGUGAGUUAUGACUUAUCAAAUCCAACCAUUCUUUUAUCACACAACCUCCAUCCUUUCCAAUAUCUUAGAAGCAAUAUGUGAACUUGAUAUGCUCGAAUUCACGAACUAAUUGAUACAAAAGCCAUUGACCAACACAAGUGCUUUAGUACAGACCACUGAACGAUGGCUCCAACACCAGUCUUGCCUAUAGAAUGAACUAUUUGUAAGAGAAAAAAUAGCACUAACCUUGGUAAAUCAAUGUGCAGCACAUCUUCUCUUUUCUAGUACCUUCUUCCUAACUUUCCUGGCUCCACCACUUGAGUAUAUAUAGGAGAUUAGCGGACACUUGGUAUCUAUAUCUAUAUCUAUAUCUAUAUCUAUAUCUAUAUCUAUAUCUAUAUCUAUAUCUAUAUCUAUAUCUAUAUCUAUAUCUAUAUCUAUAUCUAUAUCUAUAUCUAUAUCUAUAUCUAUAUCUAUAUCUAUAUCUAUAUCUAUAUCUAUAUCUAUAUCUAUACCUAUAUAUUUUUUAAAAAUAAACCCCGCUAUAUUUCUAUCUCAACAUGAAGCUAUAUCUUCUAUACUAAAUACUACAUUAUCCCUCAAUCUCUUUAUGCAAUCUAUCCACGCCACCGCCACUAAAUGCAAUUACUAUUUUUAAUCUAUUAAGAAAUACAAGGCAUCUAUUUAUGUUAUUUGUUUUGCAGUACUAUCAUAUUGCAAUUUGAUCUAAUUUGCAUUAGUUUCUUUACUAAAUUCUUUUGCUACCUUGCCAAAUUUUAACUAAAACUGAUGUAAGGACAUGUAGUCCAACACAUGCAAGUGACUCUAUCUCUAGGAAUGUCCGUGGACAUAAGUAACGGGCCUCUUAGGUCUAUAUUGGGCCUCCUCUUAAGAUGUUUGACUUUAAAAAUUCUAUUUUAAGAAGUAGACCACUUCAAAGGCCUUCAUAAAUCCAUUUUAGGACACAAGAAAUUUUUGUCCAUCUCCGCAAAUUAAAUGUAUCCUCACGUAGUUUAGAAGACGGUUAAUUUUUAUGAUCACCUCUGUUAAUGACUGGGUAGUUUCUCGUAAAAUUAUUUAUGUAUUAGUGGGGUAGAUAAUUUCUUAAGUCACCUUUUGUCAAAUAUCAUUAAUUUGAAUUGGCUACUUAGCUCUGCAAUGGUUGUGGCCUGGUCCUUUUUUCUAAAACUUCAUCUUCCAAUCUUAUGAGCAAUUUGUCUUGUAAAGGCGUACUUCAGUCCUCAAAAUGAAUACAGAACCAUUGGUGGUAGUGUCACUAAUAAUUGGAAGAAAUGACACGUCAAAACAACACAAUAUGACAACUGCAUAACAGACACGGGAAAACAUGUCAUCACUUCUGUUACGUCUCUAAUGUAAGCACACCAGUGACACAUAAAAUAAACAUGUCGCUAAUGAACCUUCAUCAAAGACACAUUUAUCCAAAUCACAUUAGUGAUGCUCAACCCUCUUUAGAUACUUUAUAGAAAAAAAUUUUCUCUGACGUGAGUCAUUAGAGACUUGAAAUGCCAAAAGUGUCUUUGAUGUGAGUCAUCAGAGACACUAAAAGCCAAAACACGUCUUUGAUGUCGGUCAUUAGUGACUCUUAUAGCCAAAACACAUCUUUGAUAAGGGUCUCACAAGAGUCGUGUUGUGGCUAUAAGAGUAGAUUCCUUAUAAUGAAAGCCUAGAAUUUAAAAUUUGGGUCAAACUCAUUGUAGAUUUUGAGAUUAGUUGGAUCAAAUCUAGCUCCAAUUUAAGGUAGAGAUAUAGAUAGGGAUAGAGAAAGAUACAGAGAGAAAAUUGAGACACAGAGAUCGAUAGAUAUACACAAGAAUAAAGAAGAGAUAGAUAGUAAAAUAAAUCAAUGUCUUUCCAUGUCAUAUUGGUCUUUAUAGUCAUAUAUAUGCCAUUAUAUUCAACAACUCAAAGCAUGAUUGUGCAGCCGGAUCCAGGAUCAUUCAUAUUGUCCAAUAAGAAUAUGAGUGACUGGUGGGGAGCCUUGAUACUUAUAUUGUUUCUCUCUGUGUUCCUUGCGCAAUGUAAGUACUCUUUACCUUUGUUGGUUCUAUAUAUAUAUAUAUAUAUAUAUAUAUAUAUAUAUAUAUCCUCAUGAACACAUAAUCUAUCAGGUCAUUCUCAUGAGGAGCAGCAUGUUGGAACUGCAAGGGGCCGAGCCGCUUAUAGCGUCACCAGAACAAAUCAUUUAUUUUGUCGGACCGAUAACAAAAAUAAUAAAGUUGUCUACUGCUGCGCGAAUCAAUGGCCAAAACCAAAAUGUUAUGACACUUUUCAGGAGUGUCUUGCCCAUUGCCAUGCUCGUAAUCUCAAAUUCCCAAGUGAAUUAAGUGAUCAACCAUGCCAAUCAAGUUAAUGAUGCAUAAUCAUAAUGAUCCUCCAGUCAGUUCAUUUGAUUGUUUUAAAAUCAUCAUUAUUUACCUAAAUAAUGUACUCCAUAUUGAUCGGUAAUAAUAAGGGAAAGUUCUAUUCUAGUAUAUUUGUUCCAUAUAUCUCCACUUGUUUCUGUUUUCAAAUUACUCCAUAUUGAUUGAUAAUAUAUAAGGAAAAUCUGCCGCCAAUCCGAUCGCUGGGCACCUAUCGCCGAUGCCUUCACUGCCCACUAGCCGCCACUGACUCAGUCGCCGGCUCCUUGCUCGUGCCGCCGCUGAUCCUAUCGCCGGGCUCCACUACGUUCGUCGCCCACCAGCACCAGCUGCUGCCGACUCCAUUGUCAGCUCCCUGCUCGUGCCCGAGCCACUGAUAUGAGCGCCGAUCGAGAAACCUUUCUCCCUCUGCGCUCAUUACCUGCCGCCGAUUUGUUUCACCAGGCUCGCUCGCUGCCGCGAUCCGCCCCACCCGCCUGCUAUCACGUUCCGCUAGCUCGCGACCCGCAAACAGUCUGAGCAUGCCUCGCAAAUAUUUUGUCGAGAAAAUAUGUGACUUAUGACUUGUGACCGUGUAGGGCACACGAGUGUGCGUCUCCUAGAUUAUUCUUUUUUGUGCAAUUUAUAAAUUGUAGACAAUGUUUUUUAGAGGUUGCUAGGUUUUUGACCGCCUCUAGAAAUUAAUCUUUACAGGUAAAUGAGAUUCAGUCGGUCUCUAGAAAUAUAUUGUUAGAGGCGGCUGAUUCCAAUUUCUGGAGAACAAAGGUGGAAGGUGGAUGGAAUAUCCGUCUCUACAAAAGGUUUUCAGCCACCUCUAAAAAUCUUGUUUUUAGUAGUUAUGGACAGAAGGGAUGUAUUGUAGAAUAACUAUUCCUUCUAAUAUUAGAUAUAGGAAUAUAAUGUUUUUGGAAAGUACAAAAAUCAUUACUCACAGCAGAAGUAGAAAUGGUAGUGUCAAUUGUGCAAGUUCAUCAGCAUGUUGGUCCUUUUUCGAGACCCUAAGAAGUCAGACGUAAUUAAAUUUAACAAAAUAUAUAUAAGAAAAUAUUAAUAUUUAUGCUACAUAAUUAAUAUCAUUAAAUAGAUUGCUGUAUCUAUUUUUACAAUAAAUUUAUUUAGAGCUAUAAAUUGCACCUAUACGAGAGCGUCAUUAUUGCACACAAAUAAAGUAUGAAACUACAUAUAUAUAUUAUCCAUAUAAUAUAUAUAUCUAUAUAUAUUAUAUAGCUAUACACAUACGUACAUACACAUUACAUUUACAAUAAUAAUAUUAUGUACAAGUAAUAAUCAAGUGUGCUGCCACCGGUUAAUGAUUACAUAAUGUUUUUCCGCCCACUCAAAGCUCAUACAAGUGUUCGUCCUUGUUUGGAAUGAGCUUGAAGCCCUGCGGGUAUAAGUGGAACUCGCCGUCUUCCGGAAUGACAUGGAUAGUUGAUAAAUCCGGCGAUCGUCUCCUAGACUCCAAGGAGUAAUGUGUACUCGAACACUUUAUCUUUCAUAUUCCACUCCUUUCAUUUGCAUUAGUUAAAAAAGAUAUUAAUAUACAUAAAAUCUAUUUAGUUCCAACAAAUAAAUAAGAUAUGAAUUUACUGUAUACACAUGCAUGUUACUUACUUUUUGAACACUUUGAGCAGGUUUAAAUAGGGUGCACCGCAUAAAUUCACAAACAUAGUAUCCACAUAGAUUCGUUCCAAACGGCUGCGUGGGCACCCAAGGGAGUAGAACAGGAGGAGGAAGUGACACAUUCAGAUCCGUACGAUAUUUUUGUUGUAGCCUAGCCCAAGCCCUGCCCAAUAAGACGCUCGUUCAUUAGUUAUAGCUAGCAUAAUAAAGUAAAGGAGCACGCAUCGAUAUUUAAAGUAUGAUAUAUACUUACCUCUGGAUCAUGUCUAUUAUGUCUUGAUAGAGUGCUAGGUCUUUUUUCAUUGAGUCCCACACAUGUAUUUUUUGUUCUGUGAUCUUAAUCUCAAUGAGUAUCCAAUUAUCUCUGCAUUUGUUUAGAGUCAACUUAUAUAUGUAUAUGUUAAUGCCGGAUUAACUAAGACAUGAUAUAACACAACACUUACCCCAUAUUGUAAGGGAAGAGUAUCUUCUCCGUAUGCCUUUGGUUAUAAAAGAACCUCCGGAGGUUCUUCUCCAUUUCCUUAGGCUUCAGAUUCAAUGGAUCUUUAGUUUUAGUGUCCUUGUACACGACAUAUGGAUCGAUGAAACCAAUUUGAUUGUCUUUUUUAAUCUUUGUUCUCUCAUCAUGUGUCUGCACAUCGUGAGUGUAGUUAUUACAAAUACAUACAUAUGCUAUAAUGAGAUUAAUGAUUGAAAGGAAGAAUCACUUACAAACAAUAGCAGCUCAUGAGAGAUUUGUUGAGAGCAUUCAUAUGGAGAAGUUGGUGUACUUCACUAAAAUCUAUCCAUAUGACGUCAUCUCCACGGAAGUAGUGUCGGUCGCGGACUCGGACGACAAUCAAUUCUUCUUCUAUAUAUUUUGAGCUGACUCUCAAGUAGUACUCGUGCAGCUUGUAUAUUUGCGUACCAAGUCCUCAUACCUUCUCAGGGUGGCACAUACUCCUGCCGUAAAUGUACCGACUCUGAUAGUCAUCGACACCUCCGUGGAUUGGCGCAUCGGUACGCCCUAGAAGUGCUUCUAGGGGCAGCCCAGUUUCUUCCAUCCAAUUCUCGAGUUCAUCUAAGUCCACAUUAGCAGGUAUAGUCAUUGCCAGCAAGUUGGCGUUUGAAUCGUACUCAUUCGCAACCACUAUGGUUUUGCAAAAUUUUCAAAGUUCAUCGAAAGGUCUGUUCUCUAGUAGUGAAAUUAGAGGACUAGAAUGCAUUUCCAAAUAUCAUCGACCUAUUGAAAGCCCUAGUUUGGUUUUGGAUAAUUGAUGAAACCCUAGUACUAUCCUCUGUACUAAGUGUGUGUAGACUUAAUGAGGUUGGUACAUGCCAAGUGAUGGAGCAAGUGAUGAUCAUGGUGAUGAUGGUGAUGACCACAAGGUGAUCAAGUGCUCAACUUGGAAAAGAAGAAAGAGAAAAACAAAACCGUAUGGAGAUCAAGGCAAAGGUAUUGCUUAGGGUUUUGGUUUUGGUGAUCAAGACACCAUAGAGGGUGUGAUCACAUUUAGGAUAGAUAGCCGUACUAUAAAGAGGGGAAUUCUUUGGCUAAACGGUUAUCAAGUGCCACUAGGUGCCAUUGUUCAUGUGCAUGCAUUUAGAACCUAGUGAGCUAACUUAACUCCUUCAAAGAAAUUGAUUGUGAAAAUGCUAACACACGUGCACAUGUUGGUUUACACAUUGUGGUGUUGGCACACUUUCGGCGCUUUUCGAGAAAAUGAAGUGCAUAUUUUCUAUUGCGCCGGUGGGAAAUUUGGAGAAGUCGUGGGAGUGUUUCUCGCUGAGAAAACACACACCGGACGCUGGCUCAGAGGCACCGAACGCUGUGUCUGAGCGUCCGGUGCGCAGGUUGCCGGGCCCAUCUAGGGUAAGGCACCGGACGAUAGGCACCGGUGUGAGGUACGUUUUGCAGACAUCUCUGGGUGUGAUUCCGGUGAGCACCGGACGCUCAGGGUGCGUCCGGUGGCUCGCGUCCGGUGACCCUGCGAGUUUGCGGAGCUCUCUGCGCAUGAGUCCGGUGUGCACCGGACAGCGUCCGGUGCUCUGCAGGUUACCGUUAGACUCUGACACACGGCUGACUUUAGAGCACCGGACACAGGUGUUGAGCGUCCGGUGCCCCUUUAAGAGCGUCCGGUGACCCCGUAUUUCGCCCAGUGAAAGCGCCAACGGCUCUAUUUGCUUGAGGGGCUAUAAAUACGUGUUUGGCCGGCUUGGGGCUCACCCUCUUGGCAUUCUUGACUACUAGACAUCCUUGUGAGCCUAAGCAAACUCCUCCCACUCAUCUCCUUCAUAGAUUAAACAUCUUUGUGAGAUUGGGAGUGAUUCCAAGUGCAUUUGCUUGAGUGAUUGCAUCUAGUGGCACUUGGGGAUCGUUCUAGCUGCGGUUUUCUUGUUACUCUUGGUGGUUGCCGCCACCUAGAUGGCUUGGAGCACCGGAGGAGGAUUGGCACGAGUUGGUGAUUGUUUGUGGCCAUCUCCCGGUGAUUGUGAGAGGUUUGUGCCUACCUCGGCGGAGUGCCAAAGGCAACAUUAGUGGAUUGCUCGUGUCAUUGAGUUACCUCACUUAUGGGUAGGUUCUUGUGGUGUCCUAGUGAGGACGAGGUUCGUGCAACACCUCUUAGCCACCGAACCACCAAGUGUUGGUCGACACAACGGGGACGUAGCGUGCCGGCAAGCACGUGAACCUCGGGAGAAAAAUUGUGUGUCUCCAUUGUGAUUGUUCAUUGGAUUUCUCCCGGUGAUUGGACUUCAUAUUAUUGAUUGGUUCAUCCCCUCUACGUGGCGGUAUGAAGAUCAAACUAUCUCUUUUUACAUUCCCGCAAACUAGAGUAGCUUACUUACUUGUAUAGAAACUUUUAGGUAGCUUUCUAGUGUAAGUAGUGACAUAGCUCUUGUGUGCCUAGUGAUUAUAUCAACUAGAAUUGUUGGAUAGGUGGCUUGCAAACACCCCAUUAGAGCUAGAGCAAAAAGCUUCGCUUUGUUAUUAACUAACCUCUUGCUCUAGUGAGUUUGUAGAUUUUUUAAAUAGGCUAUUCACCCCCCCUCUAGCCAUAUUAGGACCUUUCAAGUGGUAUCGGAGCUGUGGUCACCGUUUGUGAAGGCUUAACAACCUCGGUGCUCAAAUUAUGGCUCAAAUAGUGUUCAACCAUGUUGGGGGCAAACCACCGUUCUUUGAUGGCACAAGCUCUUUUGACUAUUGGAAGAGAAAGAUGAAAAUGUAUCUUGGAUCAAUAAAUGAUAGAGUGUGGGAAGUCACCGAAAAUGACUUUGUGAUUCUUGAUCCGGCUAACCCCACCGACAAUGAGAGAGCAAAUAAGCAAUGCAAUACUAUGGCUCUCAACACAAUAUACAAUGGCAUUGAUUCAAAGGUAUUUGAACAAGUCAAAGAUCUUGAGAAGGCUAGUGAAGUGUGGACAAGGCUUGAAGAAACAUAUGAGGGCACUACAACGGUAAAAAGUGCCAAGUUGUAUAUGCUCAAGGACAAGCUUUCAAACUUUAAGAUGAAGGAUGAUGAGUCCAUACCAGAGAUGUUCUAUAGGCUCCAAGUCAUCAUAAAUGAUCUCAAGGGCCUUGGUGAGAAAGUGAAGGAUGAGGACUUCAUUCACAAGUUCUUGAUGUGCUUGCUCAAGAGGUUCAAGACAUUGAGAACAAUCAUCUUUAGAGGUGGAUUGACCGGUGUAUCUCCCAAUGAGGUACUUGGAGAUGUCAUGACCGAAGAUCAAUACAAUGACAAUGAUGAUGAUGAGGUCAUGAAGAAGGACGAUGAUGACAAGAAGAAGAGUGUAGCAUUCAAAGCUAGCUCUUCAUCCAAGAGCAAGAACAAGGGCAAAGCCAAGAAGGAAGAAUCAAGCGAUGAGGAGUGCUCCAAUGAUGAUAGUGAUGAUGAAGCACUAGCACUCUUCGUCCGCAAGUUUGGCAAGAUGAUGAAGAAGAAGGGCUAUCACACAAGAAAGAGAAGGGACAACUCCAAGAACAAGGAAUAUGUGAGGCUAUGCUACAAGUGCAAGAGUCCCGAUCAUAUUGUGGCGGAUUGUCCAUACAAUAGUGAUCAUGAUGAGCAUGAGAAGAAGAACAAGAAGGAGAAGAAAGAAAAGAAAGAAAAGAAGAUGGUCUUCAAGAAGAAGAAGAAGGGUGGAUCCUAUGUUGUGACUUGGGAUAGUGAUGCUUCUUCGGAUGAUGAUUCUAGUGAUGAUGACAAGGCAUCCAAGAAGAAGGCGCUUGCAAGCAUUGCUAUCAACAACAAGCCAUCACUCUUCGACACUCCUUCAUGCUUCAUGGCCAAGGGCCACAAGGUACAAUAUGAUGAGAGUGAAAGUGAAAGUGAACAUGAACAUGAUAGUGAUAGUGAUGAUGAAAAUGAAUUCACUAAUGAACAACUCAUGGACAUGUUAGAACAAGCCGAUUCUCUCAUUCAAUCUAAAAACAAGAAGUGCAAAGAAUUGGCCAAGAAGUUAAAAGCUCUUGAGCAAUCCUUUGAUGAGCUCAAUACUAAUCAUGAGAGGCUAGUGGAAGCCCAUGAGAAGCUUGGCAAGGCUCACACCAAGCUUGAGAAAGCUCACUCCUUGUUGUUAGAAGAGAACAAGGAAAAGGUUGUUGUAUCAUGUGAUGUGGGCACAACAUGUGACUUAAUUAAAGAAUCACCCAACCCACCUAUUGUUGUUGCCACUAACUCUUCAUGUAGGUCUUCAUCCACCACCAUCAACUCUACCUCUACUUCUAAUGUUAGUGUCACUUGUGAUACCUCACUAAAGGUUGAGAAUGAGACUCUCAAGAGAGAGGUGGAUGAGCUCACUCACGCCCUAGGCAAAGCCUAUGGUGGUGAGGCCCGCUUGCUAAAGUGCUUGGGUAGCCAAAGGUUUUCUCUCAACAAAGAGGGAUUAGGCUAUACCCCCAAGAAGGGCAAGAAAGCCUUUGCAACUCACAAGCCUAGCUUUGUGAAGAGCAAUGGUCGGUAUUGCAACAAAUGCAAGCAAGUUGGGCACCUAGAGCAUAAUUGCAACAAAAUUAACAAGAACAAGAAAAAUGCUAAUGUGUCUUACAUUCCUUUUGAUUCUUGUUAUGUGCUUACCAAGGGUGAGAAGGGUGUGCAUGCUAAGUUUAUUGGUACACCAAUUGUGGGUCCAAAGAAGAAGGCCAUUUGGGUACCAAAGAGCUUAGUCACUAACCUCCAAGGACCCAAACAAGUAUGGGUACCUAAGAAACAUUGAUUUGUUUUGUAGGUAAACUAUAAAGCCGGAGGAAGGCAUUGGGUGCUUGAUAGUGGGUGCACACAACACAUGACCGGUGAUUCAAGAAUGUUCAAUUCAAUCAAUCCAAAUGAUGACAAUGGUGUUGAUAGUAUCACAUUUGGUGACCAUGGCAAAGGCAAGGUCAAAGGGCUUGGUAAAAUUGCUAUAUCCAAUGACUUGAGCAUUUCUAAUGUGCUACUAGUAGAGAGCUUGAACUUCAACUUGCUAUCCGUAGCUCAACUUUGUGAUCUUGGUUUCAAAUGCAUAUUUGGAGUUGAUGAUGUAGAGAUCAUAAGUGUAGAUGGCUCUAACUUGAUAUUCAAAGGCUUUAGAUAUGAGAAUCUAUACUUGGUUGAUUUCAAUGCUAGUGAAGCUCAAUUAUCAACAUGCUUGCUCACUAAAUCUAGCAUGGGUUGGUUAUGGCAUAGAAGGCUUGGUCAUGCUGGAAUGAAACAAUUAAACAAGUUAGUCAAGCAUGAUCUUGUUAGAGGCUUGAAAGAUGUCACAUUUGAGAAAGACAAGCUUUGUAGUGCAUGUCAAGCCGGAAAACAAGUCGGCAACACUCAUCCAAAGAAAAGCAUCAUGAGUACAUGCAAGGCAUUUGAGUUGUUGCACAUGGACUUAUUUGGACCAACCACAUACACAAGCAUUGGUGGAAACAAAUAUGGAUUUGUGAUAGUAGAUGAUUUCACAAGAUAUACAUGGGUAUUCUUUCUUAAUGACAAGAGUGAUGCUUUUGCAAUCUUCAAAUCAUUUGUCAAGAGAAUACACAAUGAGUUUGAAUCAACCAUCAAGAAAGUGAGAAGUGACAAUGGAAGUGAAUUCAAGAAUACAAGAGUUGAUGAGCUUUGUGAUGAUUUUGGCAUUAGGCAUCAAUUCUCGGCCAAGUACACUCCACAAUCAAAUGGUCUUGUUGAGAGGAAGAAUAGAACCUUGAUUGACAUGGCAAGAUCAAUGUUGAGUGAAUACAAUGUGAGUCAUUCUUUUUGGGCCGAAGCAAUCAACAUGGCUUGCUACUAUAGCAACCGACUCUAUUGUCACCCAAUGAUGGAGAAGACUCCAUAUGAGCUCUUAAAUGGAAGAAAGCCCAACAUUGCAUACUUUCGGGUUUUUGGUUGCAAAUGCUACAUAUUGAAGAAAGGCACUAGAUUGAGUAAAUUUGAAAAGAAAUGUGAUGAAGGCUUCUUGCUUGGUUACUCAACUACUAGCAAAGCUUAUAGAGUUUGGAAUUUGGCUAGUGGUACUCUUGAAGAGGUGCAUGAUGUUGAGUUUGAUGAAACAAAUGGCUCUCAAGAGGAAGAUGAGAAUCUAGAUGAUGUGAGAGGCACUCAAUUGGCCGAUGCAAUGAAGAAUAUGGAUAUUGGUGAUUUAAGGCCUAGAGAGGUGAUUGAUGUUGAAGAUGACAAAGAUCAAGUGCUUCCUACCUCUAAUGUGCAAGCUAGUGGUUCUCAUGAUCAAAACCAAGCUAGUACAAGUGGUACACAAGUGCAAGAUCAAAAAGCUAGUACAUCAUCUCAUGAUCAACCAAGUGCAAGCAAUCAAGUGCAAAUACUCCAACCAACAAAUAUUGCAAGAGAUCAUCCAUUGGAUCAUAUCAUAGGUGAUAUUCAAAGAGGAGUGCAAACUAGAUCAAGACUAGCAUCAUUUUGUGAGCAUUUCUCCUUUGUGUCUCACGUUGAGCCAAAGAAGAUUGAUGAAGCAUUGAGAGAUGUUGAUUGGGUUAAUGCUAUGCAUGAAGAGCUUAACAAUUUCAAGAGAAAUCAAGUAUGGGAAUUAGUUGAGAGGCCUAGUGAUCACAAUGUUAUUGGUACUAGAUGGGUCUUUCGCAACAAGCAAGAUCAAGAUGGGAUAGUUGUAAGGAACAAAGCAAGAUUGGUAGCACAAGGCUAUACUCAAGUUGAAGGUCUUGACUUUGGUGAAACAUAUGCCCCGGUUGCAAGAUUGGAAACAAUUAGGAUCUUGUUAGCCUAUGCUUGUGCUCAUAACAUCAAGUUAUACCAAAUGGAUGUCAAAAGUGCAUUUCUCAAUGGCUAUAUCAAUGAAGAAGUCUAUGUUGAGCAACCUCCCGGUUUUGAAGAUGACAAGAAACCCAACCAUGUUUACAAGCUAAGAAAGGCAUUGUAUGGUUUGAUGCAAGCACCUAGAGCAUGGUAUGAGAGAUUGAGAGAUUUCUUACUCUCUAAAGGUUUCAAGAUGGGCAAGGUUGACACCACUCUCUUCACCAAGAAGAUUGGCAAAGACUUGUUUGUGUUGCAAAUAUAUGUUGAUGAUAUCAUUUUUGGAUCAACCAACCAAGAAUUUUGUGAAGAGUUUGGAAACAUGAUGGCUAAUGAGUUUGAGAUGUCAAUGAUUGGAGAGCUUAGCUACUUCCUUGGUCUUCAAAUCAAGCAAUUGAAGAAUGGCACAUUUGUGAGUCAAGGCAAGUACAUAAAAGACAUGCUCAAGAAGUUUGGUAUGGAUGAUGCAAAAUCAAUUAGCACUCCAAUGGGAACAAAUGGAAGCCUAGAUAGUGACACAAGUGGAAAUAUGGUGGAUCAAAAGUUAUAUCGGUCUAUGAUUGGAAGCCUACUCUAUGUGACCGCAUCAAUACCGGAUGUCAUGUUUAGUGUAUGCAUGUGUGCAAGAUUCCAAGCCUCACCAAGAGAAAGUCAUUUGAAAGCAACAAAGAGAAUAUUGAGGUACUUGAAGCAUACACAAAAUGUUGGUUUGUGGUAUCCCAAAGGUGCAAAGUUUGAACUUGUUGGAUAUUCCGAUUCGGACUAUGCGGGAUGCAAAGUUGAGAGAAGAAGCACAUCGGGCACAUGUCAACUAUUGGGAAGAUCACUUGUCUCAUGGUCAUCCAAGAAACAAAAUAGUGUUGCACUAUCAACCGCCGAAGCGGAGUACAUUGCGGCCGGUAGUUGUUGUGCACAAAUCCUAUGGAUGAAGGCAACAUUGAAGGACUUUGGAAUCAAUUUCAAAGAAGUGCCAUUGCUAUGUGACAAUGAAAGUGCCAUGAAGCUCACCAACAAUCCGGUUCAACACUCAAGAACAAAGCACAUAGAUGUCCGCCAUCACUUCAUAAGAGAUCACCAACAAAAGGGGGACAUUUGCAUUGAGAGUAUAAGCACCAAUGAUCAACUUGCCGAUAUAUUCACCAAGCCACUUGAUGAGAAGAGGUUUUGCAAGCUAAGGAAUGAAUUGAACAUACUUGACUUCUCAAAUAUGUGUUGAUGCACCCCCACUAUAUGACAUGCCUCUCCUUCGAGCAAAGCAAGGUAAAAUUGUUUGACAUGUCAUCCAGGCUAUGCUAAGGACUUGCUUAGUGCAUCUAGUCAUUCCUUACAUGUCUUAGGCUGAUUCAUGAAAAUCAAAUGAAUUUGAUGCUUGUAUGGUACCACUAUUGCUUCUAUGCUUGACUUGAUCUAGUGGUAGCAUAUGACAUGUUUAUGGGCUUGCAAUCCUAGUGUUUGAUCUAGAAUAUGAGCUAUAAGUGUUUAACUCAACAUGGUACAAGAUAACCCUUAUUUGGAGGUGUGAAGAAGCUUGUCCUUGGAUCAAACCGAGUUAAAUAUCUUAGGCAAGUAAUCUAGAUUGGACCAAUUUGGGAAAAUGAUCUCACUUCACAUGGUUUCACACUAACCUAUCUAAAAUUUGAGCUCACCUUUUGUGGUCAUUGAUGACAAAGGGGGAGAAAAUUUACCAAAGAUUUAAGAUAGGGGAGUAACUUAAUAAAAGAAGGGGAACAAUUAAAAUUUUGAAGCACACAAGUAGGGGGAGCAAGCUCAUAAACUUGUAUGUUGCCUUUGAACGUGCAUAACAUAUGGUUGCUUGCAUUUGCAUUAGCUUUAGAAGUUUUCUCUCCAAUGCCUUGCUUGUGUGGUGUAUGCUAGUUGUAAGCUUGAUUGAUGAAAUGAAGAACUAGCAUGCAUAGGUAGUGUAACUAGACUUUUAGUUGUUUCACAAGUAGUACUAGAACCUUGCUUAUAAUGUUGAUCUCACGGGGUGUUCUAGUUUUGUGAAUGUCUAGUUACUAAUGGUGCUAAGGAUGGUAUAUAUUGGCAACUCCGAUUGGUAUCACGCUUCAAAGGUCCAUUCUUUACACCUUAGCAUCAUUUGGUAGAAAUUGACUCCUAUAUCUCCUAUUCAAGCAUAUGUGUAAGCUUUCAAAUCCAAACUCUUAGCACAUAUGUAGGGGGAGCAAUUGCUACCAAUUUGGGUUUAUGAAGCUUGUCCAUAACCUUUGCACAUGGUAAAAUGCUUGGGCAAGCAACAUGAAUCCAAGAAAAUUUUAUUGAAAAUCUUUGUAAAAAGGGUUGUCAUCAAUUACCAAAAAGGGGGAGAUUGAAAGCCCUAGUUUGGUUUUGGAUAAUUGAUGAAACCCUAGUACUAACCUCUAUACUAAGUGUGUGUAGACUUAAUGAGGUUGGUACAUGCCAAGUGAUGGAGCAAGUGAUGAUGAUGGUGAUGACCACAAGGUGAUCAAGUGCUCAACUUGGAAAAGAAGAAAGAGAAAAACAAAACCCUAUGGAGAUCAAGGCAAAGGUAUUGCUUAGGGUUUUGGUUUUGGUGAUCAAGACACCAUAGAGGGUGUGAUCACAUUUAGGAUAGAUAGCCGUACUAUAAAGAGGGGAAUUCUUUGGCUAAACGGUUAUCAAGUGCCACUAGGUGCCAUUGUUCAUGUGCAUGCAUUUAGAACCUAGUGAGCUAACUUAACUCCUUCAAAGAAAUUGAUUGUGAAAAUGCUAACACACGUGCACAUGUUGGUUUACACAUUGUGGUGUUGGCACACUUUCGGCGCUUUUCGAGAAAAUGAAGUGCAUAUUUUCUAUUGCGCUGGUGGGAAAUUUGGAGAAGUCGUGGGAGUGUUUCUCGCUGAGAAAACACUCACCGGACGCUGGCUCAGAGGCACCGGACGCUGUGUCUGAGCGUCCGGUGCACAGGCUGCCUGGCCCAUCUAGGGUAAGGCACCGGACGAUAGGCACCGGACGCUGGCUUGUGAGUCCGGUGGUCCGUGUCCGGUGUGAGGUCCGUUUUGCAGACCUCUCUGGGUGUGAGUCCGGUGAGCACCGGACGCUCAGGGUGCGUCCGGUGGCUCGCGUCCGGUGACCCUGCGAGUUUGCGGAGCUCUCUGCGCAUGAGUCCGGUGUGCACCGGACGCGUCCGGUGCUAACUUGCUCAGCGUCCGGUGCUCUGCAGGUUACCGUUAGACUCUGACACACGGCUGACUUUAGAGCACCGGACGCAGGUGUUGAGCGUCCAGUGCCCCUUUAAGAGCGUCCGGUGACCCCGUAUUUCGCCCAGUGAAAGCGCCAACGGCUCUAUUUGCUUGAGGGGCUAUAAAUACGUGUUUGGCCGGCUUGGGGCUCACCCUCUUGGCAUUCUUGACUACUAGACAUCCUUGUGAGCCUAAGCAAACUCCUCCCACUCAUCUCAUUCAUAGAUUAAACAUCUUUGUGAGAUUGGGAGUGAUUCCAAGUGCAUUUGCUUGAGUGAUUGCAUCUAGUGGCACUUGGGGAUCGUUCUAGCUGCGGUUUUCUUGUUACUCUUGGUGGUUGCCGCCACCUAGACGGCUUGGAGCAGCGGAGGAGGAUUGGCACGAGUUGGUGAUUGUUCGUGGCCAUCUCCCGGUGAUUGUGAGAGGUUUGUGCCUACCUCGGCGGAGUGCCAAAGGCAACAUUAGUGGAUUGCUCGUGUCAUUGAGUUACCUCACUUGUGGGUAGGUUCUUGUGGUGUCCUAGUGAGGACGAGGUUCGUGCAACACCUCUUAGCCACCGAACCACCAAGUGUUGGUCGACACAACGGGGACGUAGCGUGCCGGCAAGCACGUGAACCUCGGGAGAAAAAUUGUGUGUCUCCAUUGUGAUUGUUCAUUGGAUUUCUCCCGGUGAUUGGACUUCAUAUUAUUGAUUGGUUCAUCCCCUCUACGCGGCGGUAUAAAGAUCAAACUAUCUCUUUUUACAUUCCCGCAAACUAGAGUAGCUUACUUACUUGUAUAGAAACUUUUAGGUAGCUUUCUAGUGUAAGUAGUGACAUAGCUCUUGUGUGCCUAGUGAUUAUAUCAACUAGAAUUGUUGGAUAGGUGGCUUGCAAACACCCCAUUAGAGCUAGAGCAAAAAGCUUCGCUUUGUUAUUAACUAACCUCUUGCUCUAGUGAGUUUGUAGAUUUUUUAAAUAGGCUAUUCACCCCCCCUCUAGCCAUAUUAGGACCUUUCACCUAUAUGACACACUGUUACAAGUUUGAGGGCAACUGGUGCAUUUAAAGAUCAUACUAUGGUUUUGCAAAAUGAGGCCUAACUGAAGUUUUUGAUACUUGAAAAUACAUAGAAAUACUAGCAUAUGCAUAUGCUCGUGUGUAACAAUGGGACAAAACCCUUAUCAAGCUGAAGCCAGACAAACAUGGCCUCUUAGAAUUAAACCAAUCACAUAAACUUAGUUUUAUAUCCCAAAACUAUUCCUUCAGCUUGUUCCUAUGCAUCCCAGUGGUUUAGACUAAACUAAAAUAAAAUAUCAACUUCAUAAACCAAGCAACGUUCGGCUUAACCUAGUAAGACACAUGCAUCCCACAUGCCUUUUUGUUCUAAGAACCUAAGCCUAGGCCAUGAAUUUUGUGUUUCUCACGGCUUGUGAUAGGAGUCAAGUCACAAUUUUCAGCUAGUGAAAAAAAUCUUUUUUUACAAAUAGCAUCCAUUUCUAAUAGCUGCAGAUGACAUAAGAAACCUCCUAUAACUAUGGCAGGAUGAAUCUAGCUCAUGAAUCACCCUUAUUAGAAAUCAAACUUUAGGGGCGGUUCUGUUAACAAACCGCCCUUAGAGACGUAUCCAUUUUUAGAGACGGUUUGCAAUAAAAGGACCACCGCUAAAAAUAAGAUUUCUAGGGAUGGAUGUCUUUAUCGAACCACCUCUAGAAAAAACAGAUUAUGAGGGUCAUUGAUGUUAAGAAAAAUGUGUUAGGACUUUAUUAAUAGGGGCGGUUCUCUUGGUCAACCGGCCCUAAAAAGAACUUGCUACAAAUACCCUUUCUCCUCCUUGUUUUCAACAUCCACUGUAGUUUACCAAAAGGAUUUUCAAGAAAUUCAAAAUGGUUUCUACAAGUUCUAGAUGCGGGAGGUUCUCUAUGAUAGGAGCUCUUUCUGUGAAAAGUAUUUGACUAUGCAAAAGACCCUAAGUUUGAGGCUCUUCGUGCUUCAACCGAAAGACCCUUCGCUUCUUUGUUAUAUGAAGCACAAUGUUGAUUAAUAGUCUAUAAAUUAGAGUACCAUAGAAAUAGUUUGUAAAACAACUGAGUAUUAAUUAACUAGUACCUUAAUAAUCUACAUAUGAAUCUAUUUUGAAUAAAUUGCAAUUGGCUCUAUAAUUUGGUGAGAAACAACAAUUUCAAAUAUGGCGGGAAAAUUCAAAAGUUUAAACAGGUUUGCAGUGGCAAUUCAGUUUGAAUAGAAUCGACCUUGUAAAUAGAUUUCAGGGGUGGUUCAUUUAAGCCAACAACCCCUGAAAAAUUAUUUUCAACUGCGGUUACCUUGCCACAACCAUCGUUGAAAAGCAAUUUCAAGGGAUUUCAUAAAGGCAAUUGCAUCUAGAAAUGUGGUUUAGGAGUGUGUCAUAGAGCAACUGCCACUAAAAAUCUAUUUAGAAGGGCAGUUGUUUCAAACCAAUCGCCCCUAAAAAUAUAGUUUCAAGGGAAGUUGUCAUAAAGCAUUCUCCCUUGCAAAACAUAAUUUCAAGAUUUCUUAAUGACACCACUCGUAGAAAUCCUUUUCUAGGAAUAGGUAAAUGUCCGAUGCUACAACAACCCUAUCUUUACAAUCAAUGGCAUAGUGGUAGUUUUAUGAACUAGAGCUCAACAUCGUUUUUGACAAUGAGCAAAAAUCAUUUAUGUACUAGUGUUUGUAUCAGUAUACAAACACAACCGUCAUUAUAUUUUUUUCAUUAUAUUUGUUACAAGAUUUUUUAUUUAAUUUUGAUCACUAGAAGACCAUGAAACCUAACGGUGCAUAUGAUCUUGUGGCUUGUUAUUUGGUCACCGUAAUGUGAAUCAAUAGGUCAAGAAUUCGACUUUGCACCUUGCAGCAAAAUUGCACAUUGUAAAAAAAUCACAUUGCAAAAUUGCAAGUUGUAAAAAGAUCACAUUAAUUGUCACCAAAGCCAGAGUUCGGGGGCUGGGCUUUCUUAGGUGGCAUGACUGAGGUGUUUUACCAUAAAAGCAAUGUCAUGUGGGAGGUCAUAAACCCAGCUCGUCUGAGUUUCUAUAAGUCCUAAUGGUGUUCAUGGAGUCCUAGCAGUUUGCUGUGCGCGGUGUCCUAGCACAAUAUAAUGUUUCUCAAAUUAAAAUUAUGAAAUUCAUUGCUCUUAGUAACAAGUAGAGUUCUAUUUCUAGAUGCAGCAUUGGUAUCUUUCAAUUGUGGAAGUUCAUUAGCACAAAACGAUGUUGGUGAUUUGGUUGCAAAACUAAGUUGAGCAACAAGCUUGUUUGUAAUAAAUUUGAUGGAACACCUUUUUAACCACCUCUCCACACCUGUUAGGAACAAUAGUUCAUGCUUGUGGGUCCAAGAUAUGAUGGAAACUAUAAUUUGAUGAUAAUUUGAUCAAAUUUACAUGCAUCUAAUUUGUGAAAUACAUUACAAUGAGUUCAUUAUAGAUUUUGAGAUUCACUAGAUCAAAAUCUAGCUUCAAUUUAAGAUAGAGAUAGAGAUAGAGAUAGAGAUAGAGAUAGAGAUAGAGAAUGAGAAAAGAUAGAGAUAGAGAUAGACAUGCAGAAGAAAAGAUACAGAUAUAGAGAAGAAAUGGAGAUUAUAGAGAUAGUGAUGUACAAAGAGAAAGGUUAGGGAUACAUAUAGAAUAAAAGAUAUAGAGAUAGAUAGCAAAAUAAAUUAAAUUGUUGUCUUGGCAAAAUAAAUUAAUAUAUAUAUGCCACUUAACAACCCAAGGCAAGAUGCAGAGCCUUGGUAAUUAUAUUGCUUCUCUUUGUAUUUCUUGUGCAAUGUAAGUGUCUCAUCAUUCUUUAUCUUUGAAUUUUUCUUGAUGUGCAUAUAUAUACUACAUCCUCACGAACACAUAAUCUAUCAGGUCGUCCUCACGAGGACAUCGAUUUUGGAACUACAAGGGGCCGAGCUGCUUUUAGUCUCACCGGAACUGGAUAUUGUGACAUGGAGCGCCAAAAUAAUAAAGUGGUCUACUGCUGCUCACAUCCAAUGCCAAAACAUUGUUAUAACACUUUUCAGCAGUGUCAGGCCAAUUGCUAUGUUCGUAAUCGCAACUGAUUCCCCAUGCAGUCAAUGAUACAUAAUCUGAGCAAUCUUCAGGUCCAUUUGAUUCACUACUACAGAAAUAU
RNAcentral lists this long non-coding RNA (64387 nucleotides) under Sorghum bicolor (sorghum). RNAcentral's name for it is "long non-coding RNA (SBIC_LNC017441)". Lineage: Eukaryota; Viridiplantae; Streptophyta; Magnoliopsida; Poales; Poaceae. The record is from RNAcentral.